UCUUCUCCCCUUAUUAUUUCUGAGAAACACAAAAUAGAGUUUGCCAAGGAUUCAGUCGAAAUGCAUCAAUUGGAUUCGAUAGUUGUAUCUUGUAAAUAGACGUCCAAGAUCUACGUACACAAGAGUAGGGGCGAAUUUCUGUCUUAGGAGAUUGCUGCAAGCAAGCCUCUAUCAAAUUCAACAAGUCAGUUUCAUUUCUUUCAGUCAUUUGAUUUCAUUUCAUAGUUUCAAUUGAUAUUGUUGUUCUUAAUAAAACAAGAGUUGUGUUCUUCAAUUUCAUUCAAGUUCUUAUAUAUCUCUGUUUAGUUAAUUUGUGAUAUACAACAUCUUGUGUUGAUUGGGUUGUUCCAUAAACUUACUGUACCCUUGUUCUAACAUCCUAUACCUUCAUUCUCAUGAUGAAUUCUAGGGCUUUGGGCUCCUCUUGGUAUGGUGUUUUGUUUUUUUAUGGGAUGGUGCCCAGAAUAAAUGGGUGAUCUCGUAGUUCUUGGUCGUGAAGAUUUCAUUUUAUUUUCCCACGAGGCCGAACCUAAACAAGUGCUCGAGAGAUAGCUGUCCAUUUCUGCCGCAAAUCUCCUGCCAUGCCUCUUGUUUCUCUUGAGGGAAUGGCAUGGUGUUGUUUAAUAGAUGUCGAGUCCUUCUUGAGGAAAGUAACUGGGUGAGAGCUCCUAACUAGCACAAUUUGUCAUCAUUACUCUUGCUAAUAAGACACUUGCUUUGCACUUCUCACUUUUGACUAGAAUGGUGACCGAAAAUCGACUAAGUAGUAACAAAAUUUUUGUUGGACUCAUUCAUGAAAUUUUUGCUAGUCAUAUUUGAGUUAAAUUUUAGUCACAUUUGUUGAAAUGUUAUUUUGGCGAGCCACUUUAGAAAUACGUCUUCAUCAAUACUCUUUAUUUUAGUUAAUAAUAAAUUAAUAUUACUCUUCAAAUAAAGAUUAAAUAGUUAAAAGUAACUUGACAGCCUGGUCUACUCUAGCUAACUCAAGUUAGUCAUACAAUGACACGUGUGCUUUUGUAAUUGAAGAAUUUUUAAUUUUGUUGAAGAGAUAACGGUGAGACUCACGAUGUUUGUCGAAAAAAAACCCUUAACCCAAAGUUCAAUCUCCUUUCCUUUUCCAAAUUCCUCUUCCGAACUUACAACCUUCUGCUGAAUAACAAAAACAUGGCUGCUGAAUUUCUCAUUAAAACUGAACGUCCACACCCUCAAAAUACAGAUUACUACAACAUUGCUUUCUAGGAUAGAAUCAAAACCCCAAGAUUAACUAAGAAGUCAUUUCAACCCAGCAUUGAUACACAAAUUUUAAAACCCAAAAUCAGAUUCUCAUAACACAAACAUGGAAUUUUGGACUGUUUUUCUUCAAUGGAGCACCCAACAAGACAAGAGAUACGAACUAGAGCUGGGGAUUAGAAUCGGAUCGAUGCACCGUUACUCCUUCGGAGAAGGUAAAUUCCUGCGAGUGCUCUGAUUCCACCAAGUCGAUUGGGUUUGACGUGCUACGACUGUGAGUCUUCCAAGAAGAGAUUAAAUGAAAUUUGAUUUUGAAUCUUAAUACUUACCUUCGUUCAUAGGGGUAGGAGGCUGUGUUUGGAAUAGAAAUUUGGAAGAGAAGAGGAUACUGAACUUUAGGUUACAGGGAUUUUUUUUUUUUGUCUUCGUGAGUCUCCCAUUAUCACUUCAAUAGCAUUAAAAAAUCUUUAAUUAAAAAAGACACGUGUCGUCGUAUGACUGGCUUGAGUUAGCUAGAGCAGACCAGACUUUGGUCUGCCAAGUUCAUUUCUAAAUAGUUUAAAUGUAUUUAUGUACCAUGUUAGAGCUCCUAAAAUAUACAAAAAAGUUAAACACGCUCUCUAAAAUAAUUAAAAAGUCAAAAUAGAGAGUUGUUAAAGAUAUUAUUAGUCAUUUUACAUUUGAGCAUUAUAAUCUCAAUAAUUGAAAUAUGAGUAAUUUUAUAUACACAUCAUUUACUUAAUACAUCACUCAUCUAGAUUUUCAUCUCAAUAUGUGACCGAGAGAGAGUUAUUUUUUCUUUCUCCAUUCGAAACUCAUGAACAAAGAAAAAAGGGGCAUUGUGGUGCAAAUAUCUUCAACACGAGUUUUUAGGUAUAAAGAAAUAUUUCUUCAUGACUAUAAAUAAAUAUUUCUUCAUGAUGAUUUAGCUAUAUUAAAGGUGUAAUUGCUUCGCGGUGAAUCUUGUUCUAGUCAAAAUAUAGUCUAGGCCCAAAUCUGAUCACAUACGAAUUGGGUUAUGGAUGAAUCAUGUAGUGUGGGGGCAAAUAUUUUCGAUAUGGGGUUUUGAAUAUGAGUGAGUAUUUCUUAAUGUAGGACAAAUCAUACAUGGAGUGGGAUCAUCUCGUGUUGAAUCUAAUCACGGGGCAAACCUGGUCAGGCCCAAAAGUAGUAUAAGCCCAACCUGAUCACAAAUAGAUUGGGCUAUGGGUGAAUUGUGUAACGGUCAAAUUGGUCACGAAUAAAUGGGUAACGGUAGUGGGCCGUGCGCGGAAUGAGAUAAGUAGUUGUUGAAGUAGGUUACAGACGAAUUGGGUUAACGUACAUUGUGACCAAGCCAAGACGGGAGAGGUCAAACAAGACUAAUAUUUGAACCAUAGUAAAGAGUACCAGAAAGCAUCUAGGAAGAACAUGAUGAACAAAGAGGUCUUGGUGUAACAUUGAUUAAAACGUGACCACAUGGAAAUAAAUCACGUCGUGGUCGAAUCACAUUUCAGUCAAAUGGUCAAGUCAUGCCAAAUAGAAAUAGUCGACGAUAGAAUCUAGACAUGGACUUUCCAUGAUGUCCACGAUUUGAAGUCGAAGAUCCAGUCAUGUGGAACUUACGAAUUAGACGCGCCACGACGCAUUAAAAUCAGGUAGUCAUGACGAUGUAGCAACUAUAAGUACAACAGAAUCGAAUGUUUAGGGAGGAGGAAUACCGAAAACACAAAACUAAGUUCAAGUCAAAGCCAAAUCAACCACGCAAGUCCAGACUACUCCUUUACGGAAUCCUCAAACACACCACCACCUAAUUCCCAAACCAAAAUCCUUCAUUCAACAUUCCAUCACAAACCAAAAAGUUUUCAUUCCCGCUCCAGUCAAAAGAGGUUGGUGAGGAAAUCUUUUUAGCGAAUUUUUUCACACCAACAGACAUUCUAAACUUAGAAAUUAUUAAUUUCUUAGAAUGAAAAAGAAUGAAAUUAUUUAUCAAAAUUUCAUUGCACAAUUUGUGUUUACUUACUUCAAUAUUUUCCAAAAUAAGUUUCCGAUUUUAAUAUAUUAAUUUGUUCUAUAUUUUCACUUUAUUAGUUUCUAAAAUUAAAUAUUUUAACUUUAUAAGUUUUCAAAAAUAAGUUUUUGUUCUAGGAUAUUUUGUAUCUUUCCAGAUAUUCUUUAUGUGUGUCUUGGCCUUAUGCUAAUAGGAUAUGUAGUUAGACUAGAUUUAUGUAUUCAUAUCUUUACCAUAUUGGUAUUGUGUAAUUCCUGUAUAAAGAGGGCUCAUAUCAAUGAAUAAGAUGAUGAUUCUCUUGCUAUCUCUUUGUCUAUACCCUUUAUACUUCAUCACGUUAUCAUGCACUUUAUUUUAACCCUAGAGCCAAUAGCCCACCAUUUGUUUUCCAAACCCUAAAAUCGGGCAGCCUUGUUUUUCCCAAUUUCUGACCAAAAUUCCGACUGCCCUCCGCCAGAAUUUUAUAUCCCCAGAAAGCUCUCUCCAUCCCGGAUCCAACGCCGUCGGCCUCACCCUGAGAACCGGCCGGAAAGUCUCCGAACCGGCCACCGGAAAGUUCUAGACCACCGCCGCUACCGACCACCGGUUCACGACCUUCCCUCGUUCCGAUCAACCUGAAUUUUUGACAGAAGCUUCCUUAUCCAGAGCUGCUCCUCCUAUCAAAUUUUCAGCCCCAAAUUCAAAGUAGAAGUAGGCGAAACGUUGUUUCUCCUCUCGGCAGCCUCUAGAAACCAAAGAUUUCAAGAUUGCUUGUCUUUAAACCUGUAAAUGGACCGGAUAUUGAUCCAGACCCGCUCUGAAUCCGUAGUUUUUAAACGGGUCUAGAUCGAAAAUUUGACCUGUUGAUCCGUUAAGGGCCCGGAUCCGUUUACCCGUUUAUUAAACGGAUCAGAUACGGAUCGAGGUUGAUCCGACCCGUUAAGGACCCGGAUCCGUUUUAAAAUAAUUAAAUAAUAUUUUUAUAAAUAUAAUAUUACAAAUAAAUAUUAAAUAAUAUAACAAUUCUGGAUAACCUAAACGUCUACAUUAAACCUUACCAUCACUCGAGACGCUGAUGAUCGAGGAAAGCCAACGUUUGGUUUACCAGAAAGCUUAGAAGGUUGUGCUUCAUUAAAGCAAUCUCAUCCCCUCUCAGAUGUUAUUCAUGUUAAUACGUCUCUCACUCUAUAUGAAAGAAAGAAGAAACUCUGCUCCACUUUGGUUAUCAAACUAUUGAUCUGGUAAGAGAGCCAUAUCUCCUUUACAAAUUUAUUCAAUCUUUUCAACAAUAUGUUACUGGNNNNNNNNNNNNNNNNNNNNCUGGUUUGAAUCCCUGUGUUAUCCAGGUUAUUCUUGAUUUCAAAGAUGGUUGAUGAUGAUGGGAAAAAGAUGAGCAGGGGGAUGUUGUCGAAGUGGAUGCUAACGGGAAGGCUAUAGAAGUACCUCCAAAUUUGUCAAAGAAGCGAAAAUUGACGUCAAAGGUAUGGCUUGAAUUUGAAAAAAAAUAAAUCCAGAUGGAAGUCAAACUGCAAAAUGUAAGCAUUGUCGUAAGUCAUAUGUGUCUGGGUCUGAUAAAGGAACAAGCCAUUUGAAGAAGCAUUUGGGUAAUUGUACUAGAAGAAACAAAAGAGGCAUUGAUCAACUAAUGGUAGUUGCUGAAACUAAUGAAUCAGGUGAUACAUCAAUUGAAAAAUUAAGUUUGAUCAAGAGAGAAGUCGUAUGGAUUUUGCUAAGAUGGUCAUUAAGCAUAACUAUUCAUUUAGUAUGGCUGAGCAUGAAUAUUUUGAGAUUUUUUUAAACCAUCUUCAACCAAGUUUCAAGCUUGUGUGUAGAAAUACAGUCAGGUCAGAUAUUCUCAAAGUUCACAAAAAAGAGAAAGAACAAAUGUGCAAUUUUUUUGAACGAUAUCCUGGUAGGGUCAGUCUUACUACUGAUAUUUGGACUUCUGAUCAUCAAGAUAUUGGAUACAUAUGUCUGACAUCUCAUUUUAUUGGUGAGGAUUGGGAAUUGAAAAAGAAAAUACUUGCUUACAGAUGUAUUGAAUAUCCUCAUGAUGCAGACACUCUUUUUCGAUAUAUCACUGACCUGAUUUUGGAUUGGAAUCUUGAAAAGAAAUUAUUAUCCAUGGUGGUGGAUAAUGCAUCUGUUAAUGAUGCGAUGGUGAGAAGCUUAAAGAGUUGGCUUUGUGACAAGUCUUUGAUCUUAUUGGAAGGUAAAUUAUUUCAUGUUCAUUGUUCUACUCAUAUUCUUAAUUUGAUUGUUCAAGAUGCGUUACAAGUGAUUGGAGGCUUCAUUUUUAAGGUCAAAGAAUCUGUAAAAUACUUGAAAAGGUCCGGUUAUGCAACACAGAAAUUUAAUCAAGCAAAAACCCAACUCAAGUUGAAGGAUAAGAAAAAGGUUAAAUGGAUUGCCCUACCAGGUGGAAUUCAACCUUUUUGAUGAUUAAAAGUGCUCUUGAAAUGAAAGAGGUGUUUUGGCGCUUGUCACAAACAGAUCGAAAUUAUAAACAUCAUCCCACUGACGAGGAGUGGAAAACAGCCGAAGUUAUCUCUGAUUGCUUGGAACAUUUUUAUGCUGCAACGAAUCAUUUUUCUGGUUCUAGUUUUCCUACCUCAAAUGUGUUCUUUCCUGAUAUAUGUAAGAUUAAAAUGCAUUUGUCUAAGGGGGAAAAGAGUGAACAUGAGUUUUUGCGAUUGAUGGCUGUCCCCAUGAAAGAGAAGUUUGACAAAUAUUGGGAUGAAUGCAGCUUGGUUCUAGCAGUGGGUGUUGUUUUUGAUCCUAGAUUUAAAAUGCAGCUGAUUGAAUAUUAUUUUGAAAAGCUUCAUGGUUCGGAAGCUUAUGAGUAUAUUGAAAGAGUUCGCACUGCUAUGUUUGAUCUUUUCACUGAGUAUGAAGAUGAUUCAUCUCAAUCUGAGAUGGAAUCAAAUUUGCAAUUCAGUGGUUCUUGUAAUGACAAAACAGUGGCUUCUAGAGAUGAUGAAUUGAGUGGAUUUGAUGCAUUUGUGAGGGAAGGGUCUUCUCAUAUUGUUGCUAAGAAAAAAUCAGAGUUGGAGCAAUAUCUGGAGGAGCCUUUGUUUCCAAGAGCUGAACCCUUUAAUGUUUUGAACUGGUGGAAAAUUAAUAGUGCAAAAUGUCCUACUUUAGCAAGAAUGGCUCGUGACAUAUUAGCAGUUCCAGCUACUACAGUAGCUUCUGAGGCAGCAUUUAGUGUUGGAGGAAGAGUGAUUGAUGAAUCUCGUGCUUCUAUGCUUCCAGAAACUGUAGAGGCUUUGGUGACUACAAAAGAUUGGCUUCCCUCUCGAAAACGGAAAAGUAAGUUUCUGUGGUAUUUAUAGGCAUUUAACAUUAUUGCUGAUGUUUUCAUUAUAUAUAUGAGGUUCCAAUUUUUCUUUUAUGUUUCUUUGUGUGAAGGAUCUGUCUCACAAUCUGAAGAAGAAGAGGUGCCAAAAUGAACUCAUGUCCUGCCGUCCAGUGCUGCAGAGAUAUGUAAGUAUAUUUAUUUAAUUAUUGUGUUACUUUCUAGCUAAUUGUCUUACUCUUGUUUAUACCUAACAGCAACCUUUGUCUUCGUUGAAAUCACAUAUAUAGUCUUGUAUUUAGUUGUCUUGUAUGAUUGGGUGGUUAGCUUCAUCAAUCAUUAUAAUAGUUGCCAUGAAAACAAACUAAUUAACUGUUUUCUUUUGUUUAUACAGGUUUUGACUCGUGAUGAUAUCUAAAUAGCGUCUAAAGUUUGAUUUGAUGAAGUUGAAGGUUAUUGAUGCUUAUGUUCUUUUUGUGCUCCUAGCUUCAUAAACAUUGGAGGUCUAGUAUUUUGAUUAAAUUAGUUUAUCGUUAAGGAUUAUUUUGGCCAUGUAAUUCAACUUUUGAUGUAAACCUUUAUUUUGCUAUAAUAUUUUAUUAGUGUUUUAUGAAAAUUUAUCAUAAAAUUAUGAAAUUAUUAUUUAAAAUUUAAAAAUAUUUAUUAUUAUAAUUUAUAAACGGAUCCGAUUAACGGGUCGGGAAUCCGUUAACCCGCCAGAUCCUUUACAGGUCUACUUGUCUUCCAAGGAAAGCCAGAAAGGUUCCCAACCCUCGGUCGAAGCCUGCAAUUGACUCAAACUCAUCAGAGCUCCUAUAAACGCAGUUUAUUUGGCAAACUAGCAAGUAAGCUUUAAUAUUACAGUUAUUUACUUUGGAAUAACUCGGGGGGAUAAAAUCCUUUCUCCCUUCUCCAUCUUCAUUCUAUGCUUGGGAUUUUGUGUGUGCAGGUACCAAAAAUCCCAGAAUUUUAUUCACGGGUCAAGAGUGUGUUUGAUCACUCUUGUUUCCUUGUCCGGGUUGUGUAUGAUCAACCCCGACCUAUCACCGAAUUGUGUUUGAUCAAUCCGAGGCCUUUUCCGAAUUGUGUUUGAUCAAUUCACGGCUUUUCCGGAUUGUGUAUGAUCAAUCCGAAGGACAAACCAUUAAAAACAUCGUUUGUGACCUCUAUUGAGUCUUAUAACAACUUCGUUUUGAAUGGAAGAGCAACGUAAAAUUCUGCUCAUUUGAGUUUUUACAUCGUCCUUAGAAGCAUGGCAUAUUUACAAUCUACAUGGUUAGAUUGUGCCGUUUUGGUCUCUUCCAAGUGAAGAUGACACCUUGCACCCUCAACAAGGAUCGCCCACGUGUUUUCGGUUAAGUCUUCUACCCUAUAGCGGAUUUUUCAUCAUCAAUUGUUCAACUAGGCUCAUCCAAGCUCAGUGUGAUGUCUUAGAAUUGUCCAAAAUUAAGGAGAUAGUGGUUUCAAGUGUGCCUCACACUACCGAUCCUCUACGGACAUGCCUAGUCAUACUGACUUGGAGUUACCGAAAGCUUUUUAUUUUGGAUCCCCCUAGGCUAUUAAACCAAUUGCCGUCUCGCAAAAGACAUUGGAGACUUAUCAAAACCGGAAAAUUAUCAUCAUGAUUGAAUCCUCUAGGUCCUCUGAGUUAGUUUAUGUUCAUAUCAGGGAGCUUUUGCUAACUAGUCAUGGAGUUUACCACCUUAGAACGACCGAAAGGACUUGGUUUUGAUCAUACACACGUCACUUUUGGCUAAGGCAAAAGCCUACACGCCACCUGUAAGCUUCACAGCUUCGCACAUGCCAAUUCUGCUAAAAACACCAAUCUGUCCCUUCUGGACAGUCAACUUCGUUUGAGCUUUGUGAACAGUUUCGGACGAAUCAGACAGUGAGCUUUAUAUCAUUGGAAAGCUCUACGAGUUUAGUUUUCAGAACUUUUCGCGGUUCGUCCAUAUCUAUUUUGACGAAGAAGUUAUGGCUGUUUUAGUGCGCAAAGGUCAUUCUGCGCCGAAAUUUUUAUACAUUCUCGGGAUUGCAGCUUUUUGUAGCUUCUUUCAAUCCUUCUAAAUGGUUCAAGUGGAAUUAUUUACUCGCCUAUCUACUCCUUCUUGUAGAUAUGUCUCAUAGAGACAUUGAGUGUUUCGCAGAUAGUGGAACUACCCACAACAUUCUAAGGACCGACAACUAUCUCUGGAUUUUGUGCCUUGUAAAUCUUCUGUGACUACAAUGAUUGAAUCAUGCCUCAUGGCACCAUGAUCAACGUCACAGAUGCCCUCUAUGCAUUGAGUGGCAACCGAACCAUGUUAAGUUUUAAAGACAUUCUUGCUAAUGGUUUUCAUUUGAAAACACAUUGUGAGAAUGAACAAGGAUAAUUUUGUGUAUACCUUCUCAUGAAUGCGGACUGAAACGCAUCUUAGAGAAAUUCAUGAGUCAAUCUAGUGGACUGUAUGUCACUACGAUUCGAAUAUCGAAUCCCAUGUUGUCGCCAAACAUAAUAUUUGGGACACCGACUCAUAUAGGCUUUGGUUUGACCAAAUUGGUCAACCUGGAAGAGAUAUAAUGGUCCAAAUUUUGAGAAAUUCUCAUGGACAUCCAUUCUUCCGCUCAAAACGAAGACAUUCGAGAUCUAAAAUCACCAUGAAACAUGGUGGUGACCCGGGGGACAUUGACGUCACCCGAACACGACUCCAACUUCCUGGAGGUUGUCCGGUCAAUUCCUCAAGCAAUUGAGGUGCACCGGCCUUCCCUCGAUGUCGCAUUGGCCCCCUGCAAUGCUCAUUGCUCGUUUUAAAAGCCUAUUCUUUAGCUAAAUUAGGAGUGAGACCCUUCUACGCUAAAUAACACAAAAGUGAACAUUCUAUUCUUACAUCAAACUAUGUAGAUAGAUACAACCAACUUGCGGACACCUUUUUAUGCUUUAUGGUGUUGGUUGAAGUGUUAACACACUAGUCACAUGUUACACUAUUAUCUACUGCUUAUGCUGCUUAUACUUCUACGGGCUCACUACCCAUUCUUUAAAGAAGUUUAUCGGGAUGUAAGUUCAAGUGUCAUGUACCCCAUGUUCACACACAAUACGGUCUCACCGAGGCUACGACCAAGCAACUUUAGCUUGUCGCUCGAACAUUAUUGAUGCGCACCAAUCUUUUUAUUGCGUCUUGGGGCUAUGCAAUAUUUACAUGCAGCUUUACUAUUCAUCUAAGACCCACCAUCAUUGAAUAUUGUUGUACUACAGCUCGUGACUGUGUACCAGGAUUGACACGAAAUUGCAAUCCUUGAGCUCGGUAGGAUUGAAACGGAUCUCCAAUCCUUGAGCUCAGCUAAAUGUUUAUUCUGGGUGCUAAAUCGCACUGUCACUACGCACAAUGAUGGGUCAUUUGAGAUGAAUAAGUAUUUAGGUUAGAUAUGAACCUCCACCUAUAAUCCACAUAUGUAGAAACCUUGUCAGGCAAUCUCUUUCACCGCUAUAUUGCGGAUGGUCACUUUGAUGAGACAAUAUUCCCGCCAUUAGGGGGAGAUAAGAACACAAGUGUUCAAGUGGAACGACGUGAAUUGUCGUGGUUUGUCCCCACUAAGUCUCAUCUUGAUCUCAAAUGCUUAAAGUGUUAAAGUGACGAGAUCACAUGCUGCAAAUAUGUCUGCAAGGAUUGAUGUCCUAUCAAGAGGACAUGGCGCGACCAAACUGAGUUGGUCUUGACGCCAUCACCAUGGAUGGUGAUAUAGUGACGCCAUAUAGUGGCAAAAUUGGUGUCACAAGGCCAUGUGGCUCCCUAAAAUUGGUGUCACAAGGCCGUGUGGCUCCCUAAAAGGAGGGAGGCCCUUAGGUUCGAUAUUUUCUCGCACUAGGAAGAAAGCGAGUUUGGCACAACCUAAUCCAUUGAUAAGUGAUACUUAAAUCCGUCUCAUGAAGUCUGAAUUGUGAUUAUCGUUAGGGGACUCCUCAAUGUCAAAUCCAAUCCAUAUAGAGAUCUCCACAAGAUCUCUACAAAUAUUACACUAGUGUACAUGAGGACGUGGGAUAAUGAGUCUACUAUCAAACCACCCUUCGUUGAUGGAUAUCAACUUAGUUGAUUGGUCUAAUGGAAAGAUGCGAUCCAGCAUUAACAAAGAGAUAGGUCCUUAGGCAGGUGAUGCCAACACCGCAAGCUAAACUUUAUCAACUAUACCUUUGUUAGAUAGCGUAGUGAGAACAAGAGGUUAGACUCACCUUAUGGCGCAAGGUCUCUCACUAACACGUAUUGAGAUCGACUACGAUGAGAUAUGCUCUCGUAGUGGAUGUCAUUGAACUCCACUAUUUUGUCAGUUUGAUAGUUUCCGAAUAAUUGAACAUGCAACCUAUAAAUGUGGUCAUAAUAACAUCUCUAUGGGAUCAGAGAUAUACAUAAAGGUCUUAAACGGACUUCAUUCAUCUGAAUCAAGUGGCUCCAAACCACAGGAGCAUGCGUUUGCUAAAUGUAUUAAAACGCACAUGGACUAUAUUUGAUUUGGAAGGGAUAUGGUGAAUUAUGCCUUUGCGUGCUCAUUCUAGAUUUACAUGGACUCUUGACGGAUCAAGAUGCCAAUAUGUAUCAACAUCCGAAGAAAAAGAUCUUGAGAAGACACGGUCUCGAUAAGGCACUCGAUGAUUGUAUUGAUGAUGAUUUUCCAUCAAUCGGCUUAGGCGCUCUAACGAAAGUGAGGCCUACAUAUACCCCAUGAUUAGUCAAAGUCUUUGAUCUAAAGAGAGAUCCGUUAUUUUUUCUAAAGUAAGAUGACAAAUAUGUGUUAAGAGAUGGAGUUCCCAUCUAAGUACAAUAAGAUGCAUCAAUGUACUCAACACAAUACAAAAGACUUGACAUCUCAUUCACUAUGAAAAGUUGUAAAGCUAAGUGUAGCUAUGUGCCCACGCAACGCCAAUGUAAUGGCAGUAACUCCUUUUUCAAUACUUAAUGGUAUGAAAGGUUGAGGCUUAUUCUAUCCCUACAUAAGAAAGACACAUCAAAAGCGAAAUCAGAAUCUGCCAAGUUUUGUAGGUCAACUUCCACGGGACCUACAGGAAAUCUCACUCACUGAAAAAUGGUGAAAUUGGUACCAUUGGAAAUUUCUAUGUGUCUACUUUCCAGGGACACCAACCAUUUGAUCAUACCUAUCAUAUUGAGUGAGUUAUGGCCGUUUUCGUAAAGUAUGACGAAUCUGUCCGAGAAUCUGAUUUUGGCAAAACAGUCAACUUCGACGGGACUUUGUGAAUAGCUCCUGACGAACCAGAACGUGUGUAAUAUACGGUUGGAAAGCUAAAUGAGUCUAGUUUCCAAAACCAUUUACGGUUCGUUCAUAUCUAUUUCCUAGAGGAAGUUACGACUAUUCUAGUAAUUGAAGGUCAUGCUGCGCGGAAAUCUGAUUUCCUGCACGAACUUAUGUUUUGAGUUCACAAGAGGCCUUCUCCUCAAGAUCUAAGUGUAAAAGAUCAUGUUUGAGGACAAUACGGCAUGAUCUGGAUAAUCAUUGCCCAAUGCCACAUUUGAAGAUAUGUUAAAAAGCAUUGACAUGCUAAGUUAUUGAAACUUCCGUGAUUAUUAAAAGUCAGGAAGAGCCCUAUGAUUGAUGUAAAGAUCAAGGGGAGGUGCAAACUUCAGGGGGAGUCUAGCACAUACAUACAUGUCGCUAUCAAAUGUGAAGGGUGCGUUGUAAUCUUUUUCUCUUACGAUCAAGAUUCAGUUUUUCUCCCACAGGGUUUUGUGACUUGACAAGGUUUUUGACGAGGCAACAGAUCAGCACCAUCGGCAUAUCAGCGCGCGGCACAAGAGGGAGUGUUCUAGGAUAUUCUGUAUCUUCCUAGAUAUUCUUUAUGUGUGCCUUGACCUUAUGCCAAUAGGAUAUGUAGUUAGACUAGAUCUAUGUAUUCAUAUCCUUAUCAUAUUGGUAUUGUGUAAUUCUUUAUGGGUGCUUCUAGAUGUACCCAGCAAAUUUCUAAAUAAACCCAGCACUUCAAAUUUUGUCACAUUUUUUUCCUGUUUUUGUCCCUUAAGUCUAUUUACACCCAGCAUCUAUUUCAAAACGUUAAACCCAGAUCCUCNNNNNNNNNNNNNNNNNNNNACUCUCUCUCUCUCCCUCUCUCUCUCUAAUCACUGUUUCUACUCCGCUCUCACUCAUCUCCUCCACUCUCUCUCCCAAGCUUCCCUCCUCAACCUGUUUAUCCACUGCUCAUUUCCAACUGAGGACAAGAUUCCAAAUAAAAAAAACUAUCAUUUUGACCUCCUCCUCUAAUGCCGUCGGUGAGGACGGCAAGGUAUUUCCCACACGGAACCGAGCGAGCGCGAACAGCCGACGUGCUUCUCCACCUGACGUAGUUGGACCUUACGGCAUUGACGAUCUCGGCGAGGAGGCGUUUAACUUCCCUUUUUAAAUUCAUCCUUUUAUACAAACGGGGUAAAAUGGGUAAUAAAAUUAAUGUUGGGUACAUUUAGCAAUUUGCUGGGUACAUCUAGCAACACCCUUCUUUAUAUAAAGGGCUCAUAUCAAUGAAUAAGAUGAUGAUUAUCUUGUUAUCUCUUCGUCUAUACCUUUUAUACUUCAUCAGUUUUCAUUUUUUUAAUUUUAAUUUGUUUUAUAUUUUCACAUUAUUAGUUUUCAAAUAUAAGUUCUACGUUUUUAACAUUCUAAUUUGUCUUCCUAAUGCAUUACACACAUGUCUUUUUUGGUCAUUUAACAUACAAAUAAAAUCUCAUUUGAAAUGUCAAAUAAUAAAUAUGAGCAUUAAGUAAUUAUGAGAAUUUUUUCAACGCUACGUGAGGACCAUGUGGCAGUAUCACAUGGUCCUCCAUCCUAGUCAAAUAUUGACAGGAAAAAUUACAUUAGCUAUUUUGGCAAAGAUAAUUUUAGAUUUGUUGUUGCUUUUUAAACCUUAAACUAUAAAAUGUAAUUAGAUGUGUGUAUUUGAAACCACUCUUGUAGGUUGAAUAAAGAAAUAUGUUACAAUGACAAUAACACACCCUAAUAAAAUAAGGCAUGGCCUAUAAAUGUUUUUUUCUUUUUUACCACAGUACUGGAACACUAGUUUUUCUUUCUCCCAAAAAGCAGACAACUGAUCCGCCAUUUUUUUUUUUUAGAAUAAAGGGUUGGUGCGGCUGCCCUUAAGUUUUCAUUAAUGAAACCGUCGAAUACAAAGAGGGGGGGACAUGAAGCCUAAACCCUUGAUUACAAAGACCCGAAAUAAUAUCGAGAAUCUCUACAACGUACAUGUAUUCUAACAAGCACCAACUAGCAAAGAGUACUACUCUAAUGGCGACUCCAUUUGUUUUGUCACAAGGUGACAUAAUGGAAAGAUCAAUAGAUUCGUAACACGAUUACAUAUCCUAAUGUCUAAGAAUGAAACUUUCCUACUAUGUUGCCGCCGAAGAUUGAAUCCGACGACACUUAGUUUCAUCCUACCACUAGGAGGUUGUAACCAUUUGACUAAGCAAAGGACACGCCACCUACCUAGAGCAGAUAAGGCACACAAGGUGCAUAGACUGGCACAAGGCCCUUUGCACCCUACCUCAAAGUGAAGGGGUAUUAUUUGCGGCCUAAAACCGCUUAGUUCUAAAACUGAAAUGCAACAAAGCAUAAUUAAAUUAAAAAAUAAAGCAUAAAGAAAAUAAAAUUUUGGACUAGGCCUAAAACCAGGCCCAGUUACCAUCCAGCCUGAGCCAAAACGCAGAGAAGCAGGACGGCGUCCACCAUACCGACGACACCCACACCUUCUGACCAUCGACGACAUCACCACCUCUCCCAGCACGUCGCCCAAAGAAUUCAAUCAAACGUAGUGCCCUAUCACGACGAUUAGAGUAGUUGUUGCUCUCGACCACGAUCAAAAAUAGACGAAACCAAAUCGGAUCUAAAUGACCCGAUAUGAAAACUGAUCCCAGCGCCAUCACCAACCAAUCGUCACCUCCAGGUGAUCCUUGAUAUCGCCAGGCCAACUCGGACCAACCUAGCCUCUUCCAAACCGCUCUCAGGUACAGCAAACCCCUCCCUGCCUCCAACUGCGGCGAUUCUCCACCAUCAAAGCCUCCCCUCUGUUGAAACAAUUGAGCGAACGCCCCACAACCCUUCUGCCGACUAGGCCAAUCUACACUAGACACCAGGUCCUCUCGGGCCCGUUCGACGGCAUCGUGUCAAGGGCGCGCCGCAGGACGGAGCAUCUCUAUCCCAACGGUCUAGGUUUUUCCUCCGAUAUUAUUGGAGCGGUCUGCUAAAUCCUUAUCCGCCCAUUUUAACACAUUUUAUUAGCACAUCUUUAAUUACUAGAUACACACAACAUAUCUUUAAUUACUAGAUACACACCUCAUACUUAAUGCACCACAUAUUGAUUUUAUUGUUUUAACAUUUUACUAGAUACAUAUACUCAAUCUUCCUACAAUACCCUUAUUUAAAAUACACCACUGAUUCAUUAAAUACACAACUCAUUCACUAAAUACACAUACUUUUCUAGAUCUGUUACUCAAUUUAUUCAAAAAAAGAAAAAGAAAAAAAGAGGAGUAUAUAUAUAGCAUCAUCCUAAGUUCUAGUUUGGUGUUCAGUUUGAACGACCUAAUAUGCAUGAACAGUAAAAUCUAAAUUUCAAACUUUAAUUUGUACUAUAUAUCGACAAUAAAACUUUAAUAAUUUAAUAUUUAAUAAAUUAAUAACCUUGAUUAAAUAAUAUUUUUACCAGUGUCGAAAUAAAAAUUAGCAAAAUUGACGUCGAUAAAUUAACAAUCUCAAUUAAAUAAUAUAUUUUACCAGUCCCAACAUUAUUAAUUUAUAGAGGUUUAAAUUAUAGCGCUUGGUAUCUUCACAUACGUUGUUCUCGUAGAAGAAAAAAACUUUUAAGCAUGAUAUUUUAUUUCAACAAGUUUUCUUUACUUUUGAUAUGAAUGUCUCUUUUGAUAAUUUUAUGUACCCACAAAAUUUUAUAUAAUUUAUAUAACAUUUAGAGAUAUGUUAAUAAAAUUUCUCUUUUAGCAGCUAGAAAAACUGUUCUCCAGCUAAUAAUCACGUUGAGCUACAAGAUAAAGGAAUACCUAUUCCAACCUUGUAAUUAUACAAGAAUCACAAAGAUAAAACAAGCAUUACAGCAUGUCAGAUUGUUAAUUAUUGUACUUCAAAUAUACCUCAAGGCACUUGUGGCUGGUACUAUUAAAUGGGAGUGAGCUAUUCAUACCGGAAAUAACUUUUGCAAAAUCGCCCACCAUCAACGGUGGAAGAAUCCAAUCCUAUAAAUCAGUCUAAAUGCAAUACAAGGGAACAAAAAAAGGCCCUCAGAGUUUGGAUCCAAAGAGAAGAAAGCAAUAAUGAUGUUACAGUUGAUGUACAAGCCAUGAUGUCGCUUCCUAGUUACUAGGAGGCAGUAAAAGUGAUACAAACACUCAGAUCAACGUUGUAACCAGCAAAUUUUCAAAUUUCUAGUACCUCUGCUGCUCUCAAUGACUCAAUCGUACAACCCUUCUUGCUCCCAAUUGUCCACUAGAAAAUCUACCAUUUCCUGUUGACGUGAACAACAAAAAGCAAUUAGAAAAAAUGUCCAUAAUGAACUACUACAUACUUGCAGGGGCAGAGACUCACAGAGAGAGGGAUAGGCUGAGUGAAAGGCUUGUUACUCCCCAGUAAACUUUCGUACGUCGCAUUCCAACUGCAAAGGCAGAACAAUUUAAGGAUGCUGAAACAAAGAGUUCUAGCAGAGUAUAGACAGGUAUUCACGAAUAUACAAUGGCUACUUUACAGAGAAUGAAGUUUUGCAUGUAUUGUGAAAAAGAAUAGUGCUGUUCUUUGAUCACCUUUACGAAAAGCAGGAAUGGAAACAAAGAGCUACUAGCUAAGGGCUAGUUUGGUAUUGCUGUGACUUUAAAAAAAAACUGCUGCUGCUGUACUGUGAAAAUAAUCAACUUUGAAUUAAAACAGUUUUGUGUUUGGUAAAUAUUAGUUUUAAAAGUGCUGCGAAAACAAAAUUUAUUAAUUUCUAGUGUUUUUAGUGACAGCUACUUUUAAAAGUAACCUUCAAGUUGCUUCUAAAAGCUGCUGCCAGUGAACUGUAAUUUUCAAAAAAAAUUGUUUUUCUUUCAUUUACCAAACACUAUAAAAUCUAAAACUUCGAAUAAAAACUGAUUUUUUUUAAAAGCGAAGCUGUACCAAACUAGGCCUAAACCUAACUGUCUAUCAAUUAAUAUGAAUAUACGUUGAUGUCAUGUACCUAGCUACGUGGUCAUUUAUUCCUCAGAAGUUAAAUGGUUCUUUUUGGUAUAUGUAAACCAAACUGCUCCACACAAAACUUCAGGAGAUCAAAAACCCGACAUGUAAUUUACCUUAAUUUGGGUUCCCGAAUUUGCUGUGGCUGCUUCUCAGGCUUUUUGCUCCCUACCCAACGCUGCCUAGUUUGGUUCCAUAGAAGAAGACCUGCAGUCGAGAUCUUAUAUCACAUAACUUUAACAAAGCUCCACAAAAACACAAGCACAAUCAACAAAAAAAAAACAAAAAAACAACACGCAGACAGGAAUCAAGGAAACAAAUAAUAUCAACAGCACAGAAGCUAAUAGAACACACAAGUUGGAAAACCAUUCUUGAAACCAUGGAAAACAUAGUCUUUUAAACAAAACCUUACAAGAUCAUUUCAGGAAGGAUAUCUAGUAGAUAUAAGUGCAAAAAAAACAAAAACAAAAAUAGGAAAUGGGCUGUUAGAGACUCUCUGCCAGAUUAUAAUUAGUAGUAUGGUUACUGGUGUUAUUACUGUAAGUAUGAGAAACAGGCUGUUGAUAAAUCCAUUGAAUGUAAUCAUACUUCCAAGGAAACUCAGUCCAUUGGAUGGCCAUGGGGUGUUCCGAUAGGAGCAACCUGAAAGGGACUCGCUAAAUGCUUUUCCUAUGUACACAACAUACUCCUAUAGAGACAUGCAUAACUUACAAAGUACUGAAACUUUAAUGAGCAACUCUAAAAACUUGCCAUGAUUUACAAAUUCAGAAGGAGCACUACUGCCAGCAGAACCACCAUGCGGAUCAAGGGUCUGGUUUGUGCUGAUUGAUGAUAUGCUUCCCUGUGACAGAACUGCACUGUUGUCCAUAUCCCACGUGCUGGUGGUCCAGAAGCCUUCUGAUAUACUAGGUUUCCUUUCUGUUGGCUUUUUAUUUGAUCUUUCUUUCAGUUUCUCAUCCACUGAAGUUUCCAGUUUGGUUUUAGUAUGGCACGCUAGACAAGCACUGCUCUGUUACAAAUCACACCAAUUCUGUUAGAAAUCAUGUAUAAUCAUUUCAUUGAACAAUACAAAAUUACAAACUACCAAAAAGAGAAUACAAAUCAACCUGCACAAGCCAUUAAACUUCACAUUCCCAGUUAAAGUCCAUUUGUGUAUUUAGUAAACACGCCCCCAUAAAGAAAGUUCUCCAACCACGUCAAGAAAAAUUGCUCUCUUUUGGAAUAAGUGAAAAAUUUUAAGUGUCCAUCACUCAGACAUGUGACCACACAAUGAGAUCACAUUGACAGAGUUGCACUGCUAAUGUGUAAUUGUCAGCGAACCCCUCUGCUACAGAUGAACCAAAGAGGAGCCCCUCUACUACAGAUGAGCCACAUAGUUCCACCACUAAUGUGUAAUCGUCAGCAAACCCCUCUACUACAGAUGAGCCAAAGAUCUCCUUCUUACCCAAAAAAUAUUUCAAACAUUGUUGCAUGGGAUGCCAGAAGCAUUUAAACCUCUGAUCAAUAGGCGUUGGAAAUUUUAUUCCAACCGAAUCGACCUUCUCAUCAUUCUUUCCAUUAGAUAGACAGAAUACAAAAACAAAAACAACUUGAAAAAAGGCUUUUAGCAUUGCUGAACCAUCUACUAUCAUAUAAUUAGACUACACGAACUCCUUGAAAUUCCUCAGAACUAACACACAAGCGCAUAAAACCCACAAAUCUCAUUUCAAGGAAUUUUCUAUCCACAUAGUGUGAUUAUAUUGCACUUCUUCAACUUUAAAAAUAUUAACUGCACCAAAACGAUCAUUUCAGGUACAACUGUAUCCUAUUAACACACAAAAACAGCAGACAAAGACAACCCACAUAAAAUCAACGCCAGAAAACCCGAUCAAUCAAUCAAAUGAAACCCAGAAAAGAAAUCGGAAAACUUACCCCAUGCAUUCAAUUCAAGGUAGACCCAGAAAGCAACAAAUUGGAUCCACUGGGGAGGAUUACGCCCCGGAAUAUCCAAUCGGUAAUCCGAUUCCAGGAAACAAAGAGCCGCUUCUGAGAAUCCAAAACCAAACACAAACAGAUAUGAGCCUCAAACUUGAAAUAAGAGAAUGAAAAAUCAAAACUGGUAAGAUAGAGACUGACCCGUGAGAAAAUGAGUCUUGUUUCCUGAAACCGGAUUCCAAAGGCAACCCACCCGCUCUCUGAAGCAACCGCCCAGAAAAGGAUGGCCCUUUGGAUUCUUUGUUUGUUGGGUCUGCUGCUUCUUCUUCUUCUGACAAUAAUUGGGAAUUGGAGGAGAAGCGUCUGACUUUGAUGGUAGAAUUUUAUAUAUGGUGGGAUUGUUGAGUGGAGUUUGGAUUCCCACCAUUUGAUUAUUUUACGUGGGAAUUUUAUUCCCACUUUUUACCGUCCAUUUUUCACUACUCAUUUAUGAUUUUACUGUUUCUGUUUCUUACAUUUGUAUGAUUUUAUUUAAAAUAUUUUAUAAAAAAAAGUCAAAAACCUUUCACCUUGACUAUUGACAUAAGUCUCUCUUUGUAAGUGAGAGGUCAUGAAUUCGACUCAUAACAGACUCGUUAUAGCAUAUUAAUUGUUUGUUUGAUCCCAAAAAAAAAAAAGAAAAAACCACAUUCAAGAAAUUUGACCUUUAACAUCUUGGUUGUUGUUUGUAAUGGUCACUCUAAAGUUGAGAUAAAUGAAAUUAUUGCGAUUUUGAUUUAAAUAAUCUAUGUGUACAUUUUUCUUUUUUAGCUUUUUCUUUUUUCUUUUUUGAGAUAGUACAUCUAAAGCAUGGUGGUCAAGUUAGGUAUUUAAUUAGUCCUCUGUGAUGGAUCGUCGACAAGGCUUCGUGGCUGCAUCGAUAUGGUAAUAUGCAUGGGUGAUCUCGAGUGGCUUUUGCUUGAUCUGCUAUGCUUUCCAGGAGAUGGUAGCUCUUGCUAUACUUUUUCUAUCUAUUAAGAAAACUUCGUCUUGUCAUCCUCAGCUUUUAUAACAUCUGAAUUAAGGGGCUCUACUUCAACCAAAUUUUCUUGCGGAAGUUGCAUGGUGGUGAUGGUCGUUCAAGAGGAAGGGCAUCGUCAGAAUCUACAAUGCUAAGACUGGAUCGGUUCGUUCCGACUUGGUAUGGGCGGUUUGGCUUCUAUCUAGACAGGGGAGGCGCGCUUAGUCGGCUUGCGGUAGGCGGAGGGGAUGCUGCUACCGGCGACGGUCUGGCAGGGAAGAUGCAGACGGGUUGGUGGUCUCAUGGAUAUUGCAACCCACGACUUAAGCUUGGACCUAGUGGUUUUUGUGUCAAAGCUUGAGCCUUAGACCAAUGGACCAAAUUUUGUUGGGUUGCCUCUAUGUUUUUGCUUAGAGUCACUUAUAGUAUUUACGAGGCAGUGACCUGCGUGUUGCUGCGGGUUAGGUUAAGUGUGGAAGCAUGACAAAGCCGUAAUUAGGUUGUUCAAGAAGGGUAAAAUAGUCUUUUUCAUAACUCUAACUAAAAAUAACUGCAAAUUGAGUGGCAAAAUUGUAAAAAGCUAUGAGAGAAAAGAUAAAACGAUCUUUUACUAGGCUGUGGCAAAGCUGAGAUUUUCUAUAAAAAGAAGGGUAAAUAUGUAAUUUCAUGAGAAAGGGUUAAACGGUCUUUUAUUGGGUUGUGGCAAAGCUGAGAUUUUCCAUGACAGGAAGGGUAAAUAGUAUAAAUUUCAUCCUCUUUUGUAUUAUGAAUUUGCUUUUGACGUUAGUUUUAAUAUAUUCAAUAAGUUCUUAAUUAGGUAGGAAGUUAUGGGCUAUAUCCUGGUAGAUUUGGGUACUCAGCAUACCAUGUUUGUCCUAAUGAGGCGGUGAAUUCCUUCUUUCGUAAAAUUGUCGCAGUCUCUUGGUGGCAGGAUGAAAUUUAGGGUCAUUGGUAAUUUUCAGUGGGAACAUAAUUGGAAAGCUGAUAUACAUAGCAAUUUGGCUUUCCAUGAGCAUUAUUUUUUCGGUAUGUAGCAAAAAUUGUAAAGCAAAUGAGGUAGCUAAUGAUGCAUUCUUUGUUAAAUGAUGUUUGUUAGAAUGCAUAGAUUUUGUAGACAUGCCUAAUAUUAUAUUAGGAUGUUCUUACAUUAUAGGGUGUAGGCACAAUCGUCCCCCCCCCCCCCUUUUCCCCUUUUAUUAUAUAAUUUCGUUAAUGAUUAUAACGUGAAAGCUACCAUAGCCCUUGUAUUUAUAAAAAAAUUAAUAAUAAAAAAUAAAUAAAAAGUCUAUCUUCAAAAAGAAAAAAGGAAAAAGAAAAAAACCCUAUCUUACCAUCAGCUGCACGGCCUUUAGCUAUAUAAUUCAUGAAUUAAAAUUUGUUUAGUCUUUGUGGUUUGAAGUCGAUAUUUGUUCAGUCCUUAUGGUUUUAUUUUAAUCCAAAUCCAAGGUUCUAAAAAACGCUAGGCGCUAGUCAGGCAGACAACGCCCAAAAGAUUGAUCGGGAAUUAAUCGGGGAUUAAUCGGAUUUGUAUUUUUGUAUUUUUGUAUUUAUUUUAUUUUUUAAUAAUAGAUAAUUAUAUAAAUAAUUAUAUAAGGUAGUAUAAUAUCUGAAAAUAGUGAAAAUGCUCAAAAUUUUGAUCUAAUGUCAUUAGUUUUGAGUUCAGAUAUUUAGAUUUUAUAUGAUAAAUAAUUAAAAAUUUAUAGUUAUUGAUGAAAAAAAAUUUAGAAGUAAAAGAAUUUGUUGGGGUUGAUAGGCCCAUGACCAAAUGUAAAGCCCAAGUUUAGAUGAGGUCAUUUUUAUCUUUAGUCGUUUAACCUAAUAAUCAUAUACUAGAAAGAUACCCGUGCGUUGCUACGAGAUUUCUUGUCAACAAAAUUUGUAUUCUACAUAAUGGAAUAGGCAGAAAUUUAAGAAUAUGGUUACUGAAAAUAGUUCAUUCUAAGGAAUCAAAAGAAUAGCCACUAUCGUAUUAUGUUUAGUUGAAAUGAUGAAUUAAUAUGUUGUUUCACUCUAUACAUGUAUAGAAAAUAAUUGGAGUUUCAGAGUGAUACUACCUAGUUGAGUUUAACUAACCUAUAUACAUCUAUACAUGAUGGAAGCCUAAACGCAAAUCCAAUGACAUAUGCUCAUUCUUUACUUCUCUAUGCCCAUCAUAAAGUAUGUAUAUCCACAAUGCUAGUCUACCUUUUUACCUACACAUAUGUUGAUAGCCAGGUGAAUACUAAUACUAGAAGUUUAGCAACGUUGAUCACUAUACAAAAUGAAUGUAAAUCAUAUAUUACUGGAAGCCAAUACAUGUUUUGAGGAGACUAUGGCAUAUCCUCAUUCAAGCCAGUGCAUCACCAUUAACUCAAAUCAAAAGUAUAUUGUAUUGAGUAAGCUAUUCAGACCCAACAAAAAACAAAACAAAAAACACAAAGCAAUAAUCUCAUUUUACUAUAUAUUCUUAAUGUCUGUCACAGACCACACUAAAGAGUAAACCAUAUAUGUGGCAAGAAACAUUACUACUCUAGGACACAUGCCCUCUUGUUAUAUAUUUUAAUUUCUUGAUAUAUGUUGUAUCUAUUUUAGCAUUUUGACCAAAGCCAACUAAGUUUACAUAAGGAAGCAAAAGAAUUAAAUAAGGUCUAUUAAAGAAUUUAUAUCCAUACGUUCAAUUAUUUACUGUCUUGGUAUCUUUAAUUAUUUGUCAUCUCAAUACCCCAUCUCUAUAUUGUUGUAAAUGUAUUUCUCAUUCUAAUGUUACACCUUUAAGAUUUAAGAAUCUAUGAUAACUUAUAAUCCCCAUAGUCCCGGUCUAUCUAUGAAAUUAUGAUCUUUAUCAUAAAGUCCUUCAAGUUCUAGCAGAGCUUAAUCUUUUGCUUAUCGCAAAAUGCAAGAGACUUCAACUGAAAAUCAAUGAAAACCCUACAGAUCUAUAUAUAAAAGAAGGAAACAUAAGAAAAGACUAAUAAAAGUGCAUAUAUACCAAAGAAAGUCAAGCAACCACAAAAGCAACAAAAUUGAGACCAGUAGUUAGUAAGACUCCACAUUUUGUUUCAUUUUGAAUAAUCAAACUCCACAUAAAUCUCAAAACCGAUAAUUUCCUACAGUAAACAUACAUAAAGACUUUACCUCUGUUUUAUUUGCAAUAUUUAGAUCUUUAUGCAAGAGUUCUUAUGACCAUCUUUGGAUCGUUGUAAUUUUUCUCAAGAAUUUGAUGAGUUAAUUAGUAUUGUAUUAUUUUUCAGUUUUGUAUUUAUCUCUGCAAGAUAUCAAACAAAUUCAUAAACAUUUUCACUGGAGAUAAAAACUAUCAAAUGCCAUAUCCACAGCUUAUUGCUUCUAUUUUAACAAAAAAAAAAUCUAAUACUAUUCUAAUGGCUGAUCAAAAAACACUCAAGUCUGAUUUAUGCCUGAAUAUCGUCUAAAUUCAAAUUAUGGUGAGAUCUUCUUAUCAACUUGAGGACCUUAGGUAACUGCAAACGAAAAUUCCUGGUGAGAUCUUCUUAUCAUUAUAAAAGUGUAAAUUAUAACAGUCUCAAUUGUGUAAACAUACUUCUAACAAUUAAAAUAAAAAAUAAAAAAAAAAACACCCAACACCUAGUCCAACACUGUUCACGCGAACAGUGAUUAUGAACAGUGUACGAAAAAUAGUAUAUGUUAAAUUCAUCUCUCCCUUCAUCUCUUUCUCUACGCAUCCAUUCUUUCUGCCUCCUUUUUCAUUUUUUCAGACAUCAAGAACGCAUCAAAGAACAAUAUCAUCCCCAAUUCUCCAUACCCACGGUCCUCUUCUUCCUCUUCUCUCUUUGAUCCUCACUUUCUCUCUGUUCUCUUCUCUGUUUGAUUGGAUCAUUGGCAUAAAAACCCAGAUGCCAAAAUAGAUGAAGCCCAGACCUCUAAUCGCCUGAGUCUUUACAAAAAAAAAAGGUAAUCGGUGAUCCGCCCAGACCCCGCCUAGCCGCCGCCCAAGCGGCCAAACAACGGUCGGCCACCUACACUAGCCGAUUUGCCCAAAAUCGAGACGGCAACCCUUCUCCGGGAGCCUAGGCGGCCGCCUAGGCCGUUUUUUAGAACCUUGUUUUAAUCUGAAUGGUUCUUAAAGUCAUAAUUUUUCAUCCAAAUAAUUUUUCCGUCAAUUUUUUCUGUUAGAGUACUGAUGUGACCGUUAAAGACAUUGUAAUUUUUAAUGGCCAGGUCAGCAAUUUAACUGAGAAAAUUGACAGAAUGACCAUUUGGAUGAAAAAUCGUGACUUUAAGGACCAUUCAGAUUAAAAUAAAACCACAAGGACUGAACAAUGUCGACUUCAAACCAUAAGAACUAUAUAGUAUUUUACCCACAAUUCAAUUCAACAUUUUUAUCAAACAAUUGAGGAUAUAAAGUUUUUGUCAAACCCCCCUAAAGGUUUUGUCAAACCCUUAAUGAGGUGAAGACUGAACUUUCAGAUAUCCUAGAAGUGAAGUGUGUCGAUCAGCAUGACAGAUACCUGGGAUUGCCUAUGAGGGAUCCGGCUCCUCUAAAGUGAGCAAGCCAUAAAGUUAGUAAAUUUCAUAAAAUCUCUAACCUCUAUCUAAUCUAAUGGCUCAAAAAUAUCCACAUGCAUCAAUUCAUUACAAAAAAUGUUGAAAAUUCUUUUCUAUAUUGACAAUAACUCUAAAUGCUUUAUUUCUCUUUUUAUUUUUUAUUUUUUUUAUUUAACCUUCAUCUUANNNNNNNNNNNNNNNNNNNNCGAUUGUAUGAGCGAAUUGCCUGAUGAAGUUCUGUGUCACAUCCUCUCUUUUCUACCCGUGGCAGACGCUUUUUCUCUCAAGUUACUGUCUCGUAGAUGGAGCCGCCUCCAUGUUCCUCUCUCGAAUCUCUACUUCAAUCAAGAGACCAUCUUUGGAAGAAAAUACGACUCUAGUGAUGUAUUAUUAAAGCUCAAGUCUGAAUUUGUUGAAAAAGUUGGAUCCGGCUCCUCUAAAGUGAGCAAGCCAUAAAAUUAGUAAAUUUCAUAAAAUCUCUAACCUCUAUCUAAUCUAAUGGCUCAAAAAUAUCCACAUGCAUCAAUUCAUUACAAAAAAAUGUUGAAAAUUCUUUUCUAUAUUGACAAUAACUCUAAAUGCUUUAUUUCUCUUUUUAUUUUUUAUUUUUUUUAUUUAACCUUCAUCUUAAUUUAUUCUCUUCUGUAAACGUUUGCUUCAACUCCAUGGAUUUUUCAGCAAAGCAAAGUUGCAAUGAUUCAUGGUGCAUAUGAAUACAUCGGUGCUUAUAAGAUUAUUGCAAUAUUCAUAAAACAAUUGUGAUUACCUUAACCGAAUUAUAAACCAAAAAGCUUUGGAAAAAAUUGGGUAGAUCGAUCGCUGCCUACAGUUCAAUUAUAUACAGAAAAACCAACUAUAUUGGAAAACCCAUGGCCAUCAUCUCCAGAAAUCAAUAUAGAAUGCAAAUUACGAAGGCUAGAGUUUAGAGACUACGGGAAGAGAAACCAGUGAAACCACUUUGGAAUGAAUGAAACUAAGGCUUUUCAUUCUUUUCUAUUCAAAGCUGAUCAUCAAGUUUAUUUAUCAAUUCAUAAUUUCAGAUAUGAAGAUUCGCUUGAUCAAAUAUUGAUGAAGAUAUAUAUCACGAUAUGCAACCACUUUUUUAUUGUUUUUUUUUUCUGAGAAAAAACGAAUUUUAUAGAAAUAAGUGAACAAAUUUUCAAAUAAAUGAUUUUAUUUAACAUAGAUAUAUUUGAACCAUUAGAUUAGAUGUAGGUAAGAGAUUUUAUGAAAUUUACUAACUUCAUGGCUUGCUCACUUUAGAGGAGCCGGAUCCGCCUAUGAGAAUGGAACGAUCCAAAACAGCUAUUUCGCUUGUAUUCAACAGAAGAUGGAAAAGAAGCUUCUUGGAUGGAAAGCAAAAUCACUAAGCUAUGCAGGCAAAGAGGUACUCAUUAAAGUUGUUGCUCAAACAAUGCCUUUGUAUCCUAUGAAUUGUUAUUUGCUUCCUAAAGGCCUUUGUGAUGAUCUUCAUCAACUUUGUGCUUCCUUUUUCUGGGGAGAUUCUGUUUAAGAUACAUUGGUGUCGCUAGGAGCGUCUUUGUCUCACCAAGCAUGAAGGCGGAUUAGGGUUUAAGAACCUAUAUGCUUAUAAUUUGGCAAUGCUUGCCAAUCCAAACAAGGGUGGAGAUUACUCACAAAGCCUGACUCUCUUAUUGCACAAUUGUACAAGGCCAAGUAUUAUCCGAAUUGUUCCUUCUUCGAAGCAACUAUAUUGGGGAUGCACCUUCGUUUUCAUGCAGAAGCAUUCUUGCAGGCAGACCAGUCUUACAGGGAGGACUUCAAAGACAAGUUGGUUCUAAAACAAGCAUUCAUAUAUGGUCUGAGAAGUGGAUUCCACAUUGCCCUCAGUAUAUGGUACAGAUAGAAACCACCUCAGUGCACCUUGCAGCUAGUAAGUGAUAUUAUUGACAGUAACACAAGGACUUGGAAUUUAGUCCAAACAAUCUUUCUUCCUGAUGUAGCGGAGAAGAUCUGAUGCAUCCCUCUCAGUCAAAGACAAAGAGAUGAUCAGUUUUGUUGGAAUCUAGAUAAAAAUAAAUAAAAAGGUUUAUUCUCUAUUAAAUCAUCAUAUUGGCUUGCAAGAGAAAAUGUUAUGGGCAAUUCUCUAGCCUUGACUUCACAUGGAGACCCCUGCAAGGAACUUUGGAAAAGACGUUGGAAAGCUCGAGUUCCACAUAAAGUCCAAACACCAUCUGGAGAGCCUGCAAUGGUAUUCUACCUACUAAAGAUAGACUUUCAAGGGACUUACAGGUGAUUUUAACUGUCUCUUGAGGGAAGGAACCCCGAGGUAAAUAAAGUUUCGUAUAAGAGAACAAUUACCGAUUCUCUUAUCUGCUCCUGUCUCUGACUGACGAAGGAGUCCCACUACACGAAAAGAAAGAAGGUAGGAGCGGUGAAAUGGUUAUGCUCCCAUCGUUUUGAAACUACUAUGCAUACUUUGUGUCACUGCCCUCAUGCACAGAAAUUUCUUUCUGAGGCACCCUUCAACUUGGGACAGCAAUUGCAACAGCAUACUGUUUUUAAAUGGUGGAUGUUUGAUAUUGCACUCACCUUGCCUCAAGACACUUUUGAAACGCUGCUCACAGUUCUAGAUGCUUUAUGGAGGAACCGAAAUAACAUGAUGUGGAACAACAAAUCCCAGACUCCCACCGACAUUGUCCUUGGUUCACUUUCAUGGCUUCAUGAUCAAGUUCCAAGCUCUGCACCAGUCUGAUACUGCACAGUCGAUUCAAUUAAAGUGAAGCAGAGAUGGAAACCGGCUAAGGCAGGUUAUGUCAAGCUCAAUGUUGAUGGAAGUUAUCUACCUCAGAAAACUAUUGGAGGUACUGGAGGUGUUAUAAAGGAUGCUCAAGGUCAUUUCCUUGCAGCAUUUGCUAAAACGGUGCCAAACAUUGCUUCUGUUAAGCAUGUGGAACUCAGAGCUAUUAAAGAAGGCCUCCUUCUUGUACAAGAGUUAGCUUGGCAAAAUGUUCAGGUGGAAUCAGAUUGUGCUGAAGCAGUGGCUGCAGUCAAUACAGUUUGAUAUGAAGGAAUGACAGAAGCAGGCCUUACAGAUGAUAUCAAGGAGCUGAUGAUGAACAUGACUUCUGUCUCAGUCAAGCAUACUCCCAGAAUUUGCAAUUGUGUAGUGCUGUUACAUUUGAAUAUUUUAUUUUAUUUUGUAUUUAUUUGGGUGAAUUUAUUUAGGUGUUACUUUCAGUUUUUUUUAUUUUGAAAAAACUGUUUUGAUAUUUAUUUGUGUAACUCAUGGUGGUUACUUAGUUUUAUUUGUUUUUUUUUCUUGUAACCUAUGAUUAUUGGUUAUUACCCUAUUAAUCGCGGGAAGUGUCCUACUAGCCUAUAUAUACCACCAUUUGUUGCAUGAAGAGAUGAACCAUGUAUACUACAACAACAUAUUCAGCCAUCAACUUUCCAUCAAAAUGCCCCAAAAGAGUCUUGUGUUUUUAGUCGGCCAAAGAGUGUUCUUGUGGUGGAGCUUUGAGUUCCUCCAAUUUGUGCUGAUUGGUGUGAGUCAUACAACUUGUUGUUGAACUGUUAUAUCCUAGAGGGGACAAGUUAAGAGUCUAGUGCACCGAUGUUAUUCCACAAAAGGCUUGAAUCUCCUUAAAGAGAGCGAGAUACCUACGCCUUAGCCUAUUGUCAACAAGCUUCUAUUAUUUGAAAUUAUAAUUUUUAUUCUAAUUUCUUGUAAUUUCACUAACAUGUAGCUCACAGGUUAGCUGCAAUGGCGUAUGAGGACAAACACAGUGGAGUAUGGUUUCACAGACCUCCAAAUCCUAUCAUUGAUGUACUAAACUUCGAUUGUACUCAAGCUGCUUAAAGCUAUUGCUAUUAAUAAAACUAACUCUUAAUUAAAAUAAAAAAUAAAAAAUAAAAACCCUAAAUAAUAGUAAUAUGGUCACCCGGAUUUAUCUUUAUAAUGCAUGUAUCCAAGCACCAUCUCAUGAUCUCCAAAAUUUAUUCUAAGGCUAUUGAAGCUAUCAAAGUAUUCUUCUUUAAAACAUGUGAAUACUUACAAGAAGUCUAAGAAAGGAUGAAAUCAGGAUAACUCUCGAUCAAAAUAAGUAACAUGUGAAAACAUGUGAAUCUUCACUUUAAUUACUAAGGUGCAGAGAAGGAGUGAUAUUUAUAAUAAGUAAAGAAAUAUUAGAUAAUAAAUUGAAAAAUGAUAUGAUAAAAAACACAAUAGAAUCGUGAUACAGAUAAACAGGCAAGACGAACAUGAACGUUAAGAGAGAGAAUAUAGGACAAGUUAAAUAGACUAAACUCUGUUCGAGUAUAGGUAAGUCGAAAUGUUUUCAUUUCCUAGUUUCCUUCUCUUUUUCUUUAGAGAAAUCAAUAACUAAGGGAGUUGGCCAAGGAAGGCUAUAGCUCACCUGAUAUUUGGCACUUUGAACUCGACUCUUAUAAUCCUGUGGCUAUCAAUUCAUCAAAACAAAAAAACAAAAAUUGCCAACAUAUCAACUUGAGUCAUAUUACAUACCUUUUGUACACCCACCCUCUCUUUGCCUGCCACUACGUUAGAUAAUUACUAAAUAAGUUCAAGGUUUCCAGCCACUCCCUUUUAAUUAUUUGUUAGAAAGAAAGAAAAAACAAAGGAACUCAUAAACAACCAGGACUGAAUUUAUUUAAAUGAAAAUGUGUACUAGAAACUUCGAAAGGGCAAUUCUUUGCAUUUGGCUCUAAUUUAUUUUUAAAAAUUAGAUUAGAAAUAAAUAGUACAAGCUUCUUAAUGUAAAGAAUGAAUCUACGAUUCUUCGACUUUUAGUUAUGCUCAAAAACAAAUUCAUUCCAUUGCAACAAUGUUUGUUUUUAUAAACAAAGUCUGCUACUUGAUUGCGGUAUGACCAUGUUGAUCAAAUUCAUCUUCUAAGUAAGCUGUAGAAACUGAUAUGUAGCCAUAAAUUAUAAUUUUUGGUUGAUUCAUUUGAAUAGACUUAAAACUAGGGACAAAUUAUCUUGUUUCCAUAUUAUCUCUAAAGAUCGUAACAAUAACACUUUGCGCUCUUUGCACAUAUCUCAAUGAGAUAGCAAACGAUCUUUUUGGUUAUCGAUCGAGAUCAAAUGAAGGAAAUUUUGAGAUUGUCUAAUGUUGUCUUCAAUUGAUUUGGAAAAGAGUUACCUUACUUCCUUGUAAGGAACUUUUUCAUUCUUAGCUUCAUGAUAAUGAUUUAUUUGCAUAGAUAAUCACUGAUGGGAAGAUCAUUGAAUGAUACGAUCUUUAGGGGAACAUAGAGCUAAACCUUUAGUAAGUACCAAUGUUAGCAGCUGUCUAUAAAAUGGACUAAUCUUGACAUGAGUUCUAGUUGUGCACAAUCUCAAACAUUUUGUUCCAUUGUUAAACAUCGGGUGCCAUUAUUAAGAGGCUUGCCUCUAGCUAUUGUGUUAAGGUUAACUUUGAUGGUUCUCUUAGUGGAAAUGCAAGGUCAAGUGGAUUUAUUCUGGGUUGCAAAUGGAAGACCAAUUUCUGCUACAGUCGACCAUGUACGGUCUUAUUGAUACAAAGGCAAAAGGAUUCACAAAACUUCAAGUAAAAGAGAGUCCCAAGUUAGUAAGUGACGCAGUGAAUGGUUGUAUUGAUCCACUUUGGCAGGUAAUUAAUCAAUCUCAUGGAAGACAUUCAAAAGUUUGCUAUAUUGAUUUUGAUCUUAUUACUUCUAAUCAUAUUUUCUGUGAAGCUAACUUUUUAGCUGAUGUUAUUUCUGUAUUACUUCUAUUUUGUGUUGGAAAGAUAGAGUUCUAAGUAAGCCUUCUAGAGCUUUUAAUUUUUGACAUUGUAAAGCUUUAGUUUAUAAAUACUCUUUCCUUUAUAUGAAACUUCAAGAAACGAUGUCCGGUAAGAUGAUAUAUUUAGAUUUGAUAAAAAUAAUGAGCCAAGUGAUGAAUAACUCGGAGCCACUCCUUUUAUUUCGAAAAGAAAAGAAGACCACAAGGGAGAUGGUACUGUCCAUACAGUUGGUUCGGUCAACUUCGUUUGGCAGCUCAGGCUAGUUGUAAAAUCACAUCUUCCAAAGAUCCAAUAAACUCUUAUUCAACGAUUAAGCUCCCCUUGGUUUGCUAGUUGGCAACUCAAACAAGUACUACAUGGACCAUUUUUGUAUUCACACUUUUCAAACACACUUGAAACUAGAACUUCACUCUCAAUGACUAGCAAAUCGAUUGUAAAUUUGUGCAUGAAACAAAAUACCAACAACUCUUUUGUCAAAGUCUUGCAAAAGGGGGGCAAUGUAGAUUGCUAGUUUGUCCACGGAAAAGCUUAUACUCGUAUAAUUUGUGAUGGAUUCUAAAUUAAGCAGUAAAAGUGAGCAUUGAGGAUAAAAUUUUAGUAAAAAUAUAAAAGAAAAUUACGCAGUCAUUCUUGUUUUUUAGACCAGAAAUACAACAUCAUGAUGAUCGCACAUUUUGAAAAGCUGGUGAAGUUGUCAAUGAACAGUUCUAUUUUUUGGUGGGUGGUUGAACUGAUACAUUUCAUUGAAUAGUUUCAACGUCAGCAAAAUAAAUAUAAACGGUCGGCUUUUACUUCAAAACGUUAGCAAAAUAUAUAAGCUGACAACAAAAUAUAAAACAACAAGAAUGCAUCUAUAAUCAAUAAUUGGUUUUUGAAACGUCUUUUAUAUAUAUAUAUAUAUAUAUUUAAAUUAAACUCUCGAUUUAGCGCCAAACCUCUCACCGCUUGACAUAACCCCGAUUGCUUGAUUGCUUUUUCCCUUCGAUGAUUUAUUUUUGCAAUUGAUUUAAAUGGUAAUUCUAGAUUUAUGAAAUUAAAAAUAUAACUUGACAUGAAACUGUUUCUUAUAUAUAUAUAUAUAUAAAGGAAAUUACUAUUACGUGAGUUAAACUCAUAACUUCCCACGUACUAAAUUGGAGACUAUAUCACUAGACCAAAUGAUACUGAAUAUAUGAAACUGUAUUUAGCUAUUGGAAAAAGAAACUUCAUCGGAAAAAUUGAAAAAAGAAACUUCAUCGAAAAAAUUGAAAAAAGAAAAUAUCAGCACAGUACAAACUACAAAGUUCGAUGUAUUCACAGCCCAUAUUUGGAAAAGAAGAAAACAAAAAACAGAAUUUACAACCACAAGAAGACCAUGGCGGGUACCAGAGAAAAAACCAACAAAGAAAAGCUGCGAAAAACCAGAAACUUUUCUGUGGUAAUCAGUACUCAAUAUGAACACGCCAUCCUCUGCACCCGGUCUCUAAGAAUUCCACUGUACAAGGCAGCUUGAUUCUCAGGAAUUUGGUUUCUGCAACUUCUUUCAACUCUUUUAGACGACGACUCCGUAACUCUCUCCACCAUCUUUUCCUCCUCAACAUUCUCAGCAAAACGCACUUUCUUUUUCUUUCUAUCCCUCUUCUUAUCACCUGAAACAGAACCAAACCAAGAAGUUAAAAAACCAUAAACACGAUAUCUUUGAUUGAAGUUUUCAAGAACGAGAACAAGAAACAGAGCAAACCACAAGUCUACGUACCUGAAGACAAGCAAGACCGCAGAGUAGGACUUUGCUUUGUUGUGUUCUGGGGUUCUGGGAGAGUUUGUUUUCUGGAGAAAGCAAGAAAGACGAGGGUGCUGGAGAUGGCCAUGGCGGUUGCCAAGACCAGACCUUGAGAGCUUAGCACAGAAGACAUGGCUGGGACAAAACUAUAAGGACGGUUGAACAGAGAAGAGACUGGAGGCUUGGAGAGAGAGAGGAAGAGAGAGGGAGAGAGAGGUCAGAGGCUUUUAUAUCUGUAGAAACUAGUUUUUCUUUUUUUUUAGGAACAAAGUAGAAACACAGUAGUUGUGCCUAGUGCGUAGGAGAAGGUUGGUUUAUAUAGGGACUCUGUUUCCUAGCACAUACACGAACUUAGGUGGAAAUUUAUUAAUGAAAAAACAAAUGGGAAAAUAUUAAAUUUGGGAUUGAGGGGUUGAUUAAUAAAACCGAACAGGUUUCUGUUUCGGAUUUUAAUUUAAUGACAGUUAAACACAAACUGAGUACCAACUAAUUUGUCAAGGCACAACUCCGGCUAUAUGAGCCUGUAUUUACAAGAGCAGUUUAGUUGUAAAUUGAAAAAUAUUUGAGAGCAUCUGGAUUCCUCUUGUGAUUUGGAAAGAACAAAUAGGUGUUGUGAUUGGUAUUUGGUUUGGCUAAUUGGCUUUAGUGGGUUAGUUCAUGGUGUUUUCAAUAGAAAGUUGGAGAAAGGCCCAAAGAGUCUUUGGGAUGAGCUAUGCAGUCAACUUUUGUUGGACUUCUGGAGGAAGGGAAUGGUCGUAUUUGUAGGCAUGGAUAAGGUGUGGCAAGGACUACAAAAACCGAUGAAAUGUUGUUGGUCAGGUCAUACUUGGGGAACUGCUGUAUUUGGUUGGUUCUGUGCAUAUUGCAAGAUUCUAAAAUCUGAACCCUUCCCACCCAAACGAUUCAGUAGGUAUGCCAACGUUGGUUUCAACCAUUUUACAGCACCAGCAGUCCAGCACCAUGUAAUAUUGUUGGCCAUCUUGUUCUUGGUGUAUUAGAUAAUUUGAUGCUCUAUUUUGUGUUGUAUUAGGUAUAAGAAUAGGUUUGCUAGGUUGAGGAUCGUUGAUUUGGCUCCCGAGUUAGAAGAACGCCUCGUAACUGUAGUAACGAAACCUUGUUACUUCAACUUCUUUGUGAAUUUUGGUUUCAUUAUGAUCAAGAAAAGAAAAGAAAAAAGAAAGAACAAAACAGCAUCCACCUCUUGUAAUUUGUGCUCUUACGUGUCGAAAAGAUGUUACUGGGUAAAUAAGAGGAACUAACAAAGAAACGAAUGAGAGACUUGAGGACAUGAGCACAACACAAAACAGAGAGAAGAAGAAGAAAACAAAUAAGAGGAAAUACACUAAAGCAAGCAUGGCACAAAAGUGAGUAGCUAAUAUCACAUCAUACAUCACUACUAAACCUGCUAUGAACAUCCUGCUAUAGAUAACGUCUCUGCAGGUUGUAACACACAUAGAUUUAUUAAUCUACUAUUGCGAAACAAUAAAAAGAAAAGGCAAUGUAGCAUGUUCUUACUUUGACAAACCCAAACUGAGAAGGGGGAAAGAAAAGAAAAGAACACUCUUCAAGUAGUAAGGAUGGGAGGAAGGUAGUCGGAUCUGGCACCUAGCACUCGAGCCUUGGUGUCAGGGAAGAAUUCGAAUCCUGGCAACUCUGUGACUUCUCCUUCACUGGUAACUCCAACAGGAUAGCGAAGCAGGUGACCCGGCAAAUCAUGUUCCAGUGUUUCACUUGAAUAGAGGUCCCAGUAUUUGUCAGCAAUCUGGUUGACCUUUUUGAUACAUUCAACGCUUUCUGGCUGGAGGAAGGUCUCAUCCAGCAUGCCAAGGUGCUCGUACCACAAUGCCAUACGGAAACCAUGGAUCUGGCCACGUGCUGGCUCCCUGACUGAUAGAUGAUGUGGUUGGUAGGCUCCCAUGGCUAUUUCAGAGUCCCUGGCACCAUCCAUUGAUCUCUGAUUGAUGUUGGCAGAUCCAAUGAUGAUGUAUUCAUCAUCGACUGCAAAUAAAAAAAGAAAACGAUUAUGUGGUUGGAUUAAUCAUGACAGCACUAGAAUCAGCACUAAUCUGGUAUCAGGUGUGUAGAAAUAUGGGAACGUUUAAGCCAUUCAAGGAAAAAAAAAAGCUUACAAUGGUACUACAUACCUAUCAUCAUUUUGGUGUGAACAUAAAUCAUGAAGCGCCGGGCUUCCUGAGCUCUAAUAUAAUCUGAAUCUGCCUCAGGUGCCUCAGAGGGUUCAUAUUCUCCGUCCUUCUUCACCUCCCGAUUUCCAAGGCAGAAAAAUGUCAAAUAGUUCCUUGGAUCCUCCUCAACACCAUGUUUAUCAAGUGCCUCCUUAAUAUCUUUGUACAUCAUUUCCAUUGUCCUCCUCUGCCAAUCUAAUAUGGCCUGGACUGAUGCGGACUCUGGGAUUCCCUCUGGCCACAUUGGUACAACGACAUAGACAGUAAACCUCUCCCCAUUCUCUAUCUUGUCAGCAAUCUUAAGCGAAAGCUCCCUAGGAAUUACAUGCGAAGCACCAAUGUCUUCAGGUUUUAUACCAUCAGCUGCCCAGGCAAAAGAGCUACCAAGAAAAUAUUGAUUUUCAAUAUAUAUGAAGUUCUUUGCCCGGCGAAUAGCAUGGAUAUAAGCAUCCUGAAUGCUUCGAUCAAUGAUGUUAUCCUUCCCACUAACAAGCCCAGCUCUGGCUGCAUCUUCAGGCGUAUCCGGGAAGCCAAAAGCAGCUCCUCCAUCAAUUGAUCUGAAUAACUGUACAUUCCAUGUCUCAUGGUCAUCUGGGAACAUAACAGGAGAUGGUGGAAUAAUGACAUUCUCAAGCUCUCUGAGCUGAACAAGUACAUCUUUACCACCUUGCUUUCUCCAUCUCUGCUCAAAGUUAAACAACACAUCCCAAGCAAUAGGCCCUUCCAGCCGAGAGUGAAUAUCAUGCCAAGGUUCUCUUGGCCCACCUUUGGUAAUCGAUGCACCAGUAAAAUUUGGCUGAUGGAAAUCAUCAUGAUGUGCAGUAUCCAAUGUCCUGAAAAGUGAAUGGAAUGGGGUAUCGUAUCUUCCAUCACACAGAUCAAGACCCCCAACAAAACUCACAAUUCUUCUACUCUGUGAUCCUCCAUUUGGCAUUUCACUAUCGACAACCACAAUCUUCUGAUGAUGAGUGAACAUGGUAGAGAUUUGUGCCCCCUGAACAAUGCUUCCACCACCAUCGGGAUUACGAGGGCAUAAGACACAGUUGACGUCAGUGUUCUGGAAAAACUGUGCAGUUUCCUCAUCAUGGGUGGCCAUCAGUCCAUCUUUUUUUAAUAAACCAACCGAGGUCCUAUCAUCCCAAACAAGCAUAAGAACACGGACACCUUCACUUGCUUUCUUUUUAAGUAACUCACCAAUAGUGAUAUCUCCACCUGAUUUUGGCCUCCUUGAGUCCCUUAUUAAUGAAAUUUCAGUAUAAACUGACCACCCAGUAAUGUAGAUCAGGUGUUUUGCAUUAGUGAUUGCAUCAAAGAUAUCUUCCCAACAUCUGUGCGGCUCAUAAUACUUCCCUCCAGCAAGAGGAAUUUUAGGAAUAAAUUUAUCCGGGACAUGAGCAUCUUGGAACAGUGAAACCCUACAUCCUUGUCUCUGAGAGAAAAAUGUAAAUGGAACUCCAGGAAAUUUAGGACUCUUAAUACCUUGACCCCAACUGCGGUCCUUUGAAACAUGAAAAAAUUGUAGUUUCACAUGUAUCUUGGGCUCCCCAUGAACAGGUUUUUUUUUGUCAUCCAAAAUUUCAGCCCAUGUAUCCACUUCUUCCCCUUCAAUAAGUUGUUCAACAGGUACAUACGCUCUUCCAAUUAAUGAUGCUCCAAUAGGAUUAGACUCCUUGACUGUGAAUAUAACAUUUGCAGCAACAUGGGCACAAUAAAUGUGGAAAGACUCAAACCACUUGGGAUUAGAGGGUUCUUUUUCUAUAACUCUGGUCCGACCAACCCUAGCUCUUUCCAGAUCAACGGUUGCAUAGAGUUUGCUAACUCCUUUGCCGAGACCAACAGUCUCUUCAAGUUUUCCAGUAAUCUGCAAAGUAAAUUUCAUCAGUACAAGGCACAAUUAUGAAAGUACGAAAGCAAUAGCCUAUGCUGAUUCUGAAGUUACUAAUCGAUAAAGAAAUUGUGAAAAUGGACCCCUACAAGCAACCUUUAAUUCUUUAAACUGUACUUAAGUUUACCGACCAGAAAAGUGGGGGAAUGAAAUGGAGGACAAUUAUGAUGAUAGCCUAGUGUUUCCUUGUCAGUUAGAUUUGUGAACAUGCUUUUUAAAGGAAAACAAGCUCCAAUCAGAACAUAUCUGUUAGAGAACAGAAAAUAAAGGCAACUGAAUGGAUACAGGUUUUCAACAACCACCAUAUACACGGCACAUACAUGAGAGACGCUAUACACUUCCCAGGAAAAACACAAGAACCUCCUCUUGAAACAGUUAUUUAAGCAAAAGACAUUACAAUCUUUGUAUGCAUACUAGUAAUCAGCACUGUCAUAUGCAGUGCAGGGCGUAAAUGGGACAAACAACCAUUACUAGAAAACAGGGAUAGCUGAAAAACAGAAGAUCCAUCUCCACUAUAUGAAGCAAUCUCCUGUGCAUGGUGAAACAUCUCUUUUCCAUGUUCUUAUGCAUGAGAGAAAAGAAAGCAUUUAGUAUAUAUCAAACAUCAAACUCCACAGUUAUGUUCCAAGCUAUAAUGUGAGAAAAUAGAUGUACAGAAUCUAACUAAAUAAGUAACUAAAAUCCCAGUUAAUAAUUUUGCAUGCCAAUGGGGAAUAAGCAGAAGCAUCUGGAACAAGAAAAGGCUCUCAGCCUAAUUCUGCAGCUGAACUUGAAAUAUCGAAAGCCAUAUACUGACAUUGUUUAAGGCUUCGCGCUCGAAUAACAUGAUCCCAAUUACUAUCAAACACUCCGUAAAACAUAAAAUUUCCAUGUCUGUGAGUUAGAUCUCCUUACACAUUAUUAUGCAGAAGAGAAGAGAGCUUUCAGUUAAUCAAAUACCCAAGUACCCACUCCAAAGAGUUUAGUCUAAAUCAAACUUCCAAAUUGCUUGGUUUGAAUCAAACAAGGCUUUCAGUCAAGCAUUGUUUUCCAAAACAUAAAACCUCGUGCUUUUCCUUACUCAUCAUGGACAUAACACAUAAGACUGAAAGAUCUAAACCUUCAUCUUCAGUGCAUAAAUAAACUCCAUCCUCCAUUUUGUAUAAUAAAAAAUACUAUGAUCUCAACAAGUUCAUAGAUCGACCUGGGCUACAAAUUGAUAUCUAUAUCCAAACGGUCCGAUUCCACUUUCUUUUCCGUUUUCCAAUAUUAGGAUCACAUUUCACAUUUUGGAAAACAAGCAGAUCAGUAAACCAGUCCUACAAGUUGCAAAGACUAUCACAAACACACACAAAACACAAUCAGAUAGUAACAGAACAAAUACACGGAAGCAAGAUCACAGAUCACCAUUAUCAGAGCUACGAUCCAUAUGCAUAAACAAAGAUACCAAAUCAUAAAAGUAUAUACCUUCCGGAGGAAAUUCCCACUACUACCGUGUAGCUUAUCAACCUCAUAGAUCGUAGCAUGAAGAGUCCCAUGAAGCCAAUGCUCAGCCGCGUCACCCAUUUCUCACCUGCAAACAAUAAUGAUCAGCCAAAGAAAACCAAAAGCCACUUCUCCUCAAAUCCCAGAAUCACAAACAACCCAACAAGAUCAAAACUUUAACACGAAACCGAUCCGAUCACACAGAAAAGAAAAAAAAAAAAAAAAGUAACCCAAGAACAGGAAUUUCAUUUAGUUGUGAAUAUAUAAGUGAGUGUUAGAAGUUUUGAUCAUGAUGAACAGUGAUUGAGAAUACAAUUAUCAUAGUUGGGUUGAGUUGAGGGACUCACGUUUGGGAUGUGAGAGAGAGAAGGAGAUCAGAGAGAGUGGAAGCAGAGCAGGAACAGAGGAGUAUGUGAGGAUCUGAUCCGGUAUUGGCUCUGUGGACUUUAUAUAUAGUAAAUGGCGCUCACUCUUACACCCUCAUAAUGUAAAAAGUAGCCAGAUCCGUAUAACAAGCUAUGAAACGAAGACGAGAGCUCAAUAUGAAUGGCUCAGUGCCUCAGUGUCUGUAAUUUGCUUCUAGUCCCUCUUCUUCUCUAUAUUUUCACCUUUCUCUUUUGGUAAUGUUUUGCAAUGAAUUGGAAUAUUAAUAUCAUUCAUUAGAGAUUUAGACUGGAAAUGGAAUUCUGAAACCCAAAAAAGAAAUUACAGCAACAUUAUCUUUGUGAUUGCCUUUGAUUUGUACAUUAUAUCUGGUGUGGGUACUAUAUCUACUGUGGUUAACGUAGGACAUAUCAUUUUGAUUAGGUCACCCUGAUUUGGCCAAAAAAAAAAAUGCAAAGAAUUGUUUUGGGUGUUCACAUAGAAUUUUCAGACUUCAUUCCCCCAUCUCCUGUAUAGGGAUUGAGAACAUAUAUAUUUAAUUUUUCUAUUAUAGAAUCAUUGUGAAAAGUAUUAUAUUAAGAAGUGAUUCUAGUUUUUCAUUAUUAUUUUUAUUGAGAGCAAGAUAGCGAGAUAGCAAAACAACUCGGUUAUAUUAACAAAUUAAUAAUAUAAUCAUUCAAUCAGUAUUCAGACCAAAAAACACGAAAAUAUCUCAACAAAGCCAAACUAAUAUCAUGUUGCAGACGCACAAAUCAGAAGACCCCUCAAACCUGCUAAUCAUAGGAGUUGGGACUCAAACUCAUAACUUUGGACAUGAAAGUUCCAUACUAAGCAAUAAAUAUAGGUUCGGUCUCAACAAUUCGGAUUUUAGGCACUAACUGAUAACUAAACCUGAAGUUUCGUUUCCUAUUCUCCCAUUUCUUAAAACCGAAACCGAUAAUUUGUCUCUUUCCUAUUUCUCAAACCCGCAUCGAAACCGAGUCUUUUUUUCAUGUUUGUCCACAUCUUAGUACAUAUUACAUAUGAAUUCUUCAUUCUUUCUUCUUCUACUUCUCAAGGCACUGAAGUCAAAUUAUAGCAAGUCUCGAAAUGAAUGAGAAGAAAAAGGAAAGUAUCGGCGCUGGCACAACACGUGUAACCCGUCCCUGUUACUAGUGGAGCUUGCCGACACCGGAAAACGACUCGUCGUAAUGAAAUAGGCCGAAAAGGGUCCCGUUGUAGGCCCGUUUUAAUUACAUGACGAGUGUGGAUAAGGAUGGCCUACCUCGAAAGCCUUGCCUUCCAGAUUUCCACUGCCACGUUCCAAUUUUCAAUUUCCCUCCCUUCAUUAUAACUCGAGUUGACCAUUGACAAUUGAGCACACGGCUUACGCGCAUAGAGUAGCUUAUUAAUGUGCACUAAUCACAUUUCCAAACUUGAUUAAAACAGAAAUAUAUUUGGUCAUUUUAGCUCGGCUCUACAACCAAACUAAUUUUGUAGCUAAGCAUGGUCACACUUUGAUGUGACAAUUGGCAUUUAUCUAUCUGAUUAGUGUUCGACAUAAUAACAAGUGGCGAGAUCCUACAAUUGUGUUUAGGAGUAAGGCAAAAGAUGGAAUACGCCUCAGUCCCCAUACGCCAAAGUUGAUCCAGUCAGGUGGCUUCACCACGUUUACACAUUCUGAAAGAAAAAGGCAAGACAGUAAAUAUGCACACAACGAUCGUCGUCGGCUGUAAAAAGAAGUUUCUGUCGAGGAUAUAUCGCAAAUCUCACAGGCUUACUGUAAGUCCUCUUCUCUAAAAGAAAACUUGUUGUUCUUUCCAUCAGCAAAAGUUUACCAGAGGAUUUGAGUUUGAUGAGAUAUCCCAUCACCAAAGCAAUAUAUAGUGAGAUUCAGGAUUAUUGGUUGAAGUUUGGGAUUUAAGAUUAUCUGUUUCUUCAAUGAUUUAGGUGGAUAUAUAGAUCAUUGAUGGGAGUGGUAUCAUUGCUGAGACUGAUUCACUGAUUACUAGCUAUUGCUCUGAUCGGAGCUAGACUUCACCGUUCCUUUUGGUAUGCCCCUUCAAAAGUUGUACCUGCUGGCCCGCUAUGUCGCCGUACCUCAUCCAACCUUGACAGAGGUACUCAACAAGGAGCGCCGCCGCACAUAGACGCCUUCUAACCUUUUUGCCAUGCUCCUCCUCUUAUUUCCUCCAGAAUUCCUCCUCGGAGGGGAGCUAUUCUCUUUAGUUGGCGGCGAUGGCUUUUAGAGCUCUUCGCCGAGCUUGACGAUUUUUCCCGGAUUGGUGAGGAGGAUUUGAGGAUUUUGACCGAGCAUCCUGGACCGGGGAGGUGGAGGCUGUGGUGCCGUUGGGAUGGGUGGGCUUGUGCCGCAGCUUGCGGCGGUCGGUUCAGGGGAGGGUUAGAGUUGCAUUGGUGAGAGAGUGAGACAACACAGAAAAAAGAGAGAGAAUGGGGUUUUGGGGUUAGUUUUUUCUUUUACUGUUAGUUAAUAACUUUACUCAUAUCUUUCAUAUUCAAAUUUUGUGGGCGACAUAGUGUCAUGUGGCAGGACUCAUUUUGGCGUACACUACGUUAACGUAGUCCAGCGCUUUCCUAGGAGUAAUACUAUAUACAACAAGAAGCUAAUUUAAAAUGGGAUAAACCUCAUACAAGAAGAAAUUGACCAUGUCACAUGAGAAAGGCAUGCUUUGAACUGUUGGAGACGUGAAAUGACAAAAAUUGAUCUCGUUUAUUAAAAACACAAGAAAAGUAUAUACUCAAUUUUAAAGAUGCUAGAUAUGCAUAAUUUGGUAUAACUUAAUUAUUUGUAAUCAGUUUUAAUUAAAAUAGCUAAAAAGUUAACUAGCUAACUAAACAUAUGUUUCCUUCAAAAAAAAAUCUUGACAAUUUUUUAACAGAUUCGCUAGGUGAUUCGUUAGGUACUUUAGGACACUGCUUCAUUGUUAUUUCUUGUUCGUCUUUUUAGUUUUUUAUUUUUGAAACUAAAGUUCGUCUUUUUAGUUUCCUCCUUGUGUCCAUCCGAGAAAUUUUUAGAUACUACAAGAAGAUCACGUGACAGUAUAAUGUGGUCUUACAUUCCAAUCAAAUAUUGACACGUGAAUUUAUUACAACUAAAUUUCUUUUGUGAAAUGACCUUCAUGGGUCUUUGUUGAGUUUGAACUAGGGUUUAGGGUUUAGGGUUUAGGGGUUAGGGUUUUGGGUCUAAGGUUUAGGGUUUAGGGUUUAGGUCUAGGGUCUAGGGUUUAAAAAACAACAAUAAACCAAAAAUUGUUUUUGACAAAAUACCUUAAGUAAUUUUUUCUUAAUAAAAACCAUGUGUCAAUAUUUGAUUGAAAUGUAGGACCAGGUCAUACUGUUACAGAGUCCUCUCGUGGCGCUGAAAAAUUUCUCGUAUCCAUCCCCCCUUUUAGUUUAACAAUGUGGGAGAGAAUGUCAUAAGGGGCCGGUUUCUUUGUAAUGAUUUUAAUCAAAAAAUUCAAAAACAAAAAAAAAAAAUAAUAUAUAUAUAUAUAUAUACACACACACUUACAUUAGUUAUCUCUUUAACUUGCUUUGAAUCUAAAAAUAAAAAUGAUUUAAGAGCAUAUUAGAAAAUAGGAAACAACUUAAAUCAACAAAAAUGUUUUUCAUUUUUUUGACUCAACAACAUCAUGCAAUACUUAAAUGGCUACGGGCGGUGGCCCAAAAACAACAUUCAUAUCUUGUUAAAGCCCAAUCGAAAUGUCCAGUGGUCCAAAGCACUCGAGCAGCAAACUCUAGCUACACCACAAAAGCCUAAUUUUUUUUUUUUGGCGAAACCACAAAAGCCUAAUUGAACAACCCACCAAAUGAAAUAAAAGAAAACAAACAAAUUAAAUGUAGAGUUUCUAAAAGAGACAACGUGUGUAUAUUCAUUUGGUGGAAAACUUCCGAAAGCUAAUAUUACAGGUAUUCCUAACCACAUCUAUCUUGCUUUGAAUGUCCACCUAAACUCAGGGAUACAAAUUUGCUCCUCACCCAUACUUUUUCACCCUCAUCCCCACCCACCUAAUUGAACGUCACAUGUCCUAUCUUUUAAUCACAUUAACCAUAGGAAAUCAUCAUUAGCUCCCCAUAACACCUUCUCCGACUGAGCCACUUAUUCACAGACAUGAGGCCUUUGUUGUUUCGUCGGACGACGAUGCCGUCAAGGAAUGUUGCCUGUUAAGGAAGACUCCAUGUUUGCGUUUUCCUUGGCUCAUGGUUUUUUUUUAAAGUUUUUUUUUUUUUUUUUAGUAGAGCGCAGCUCCUUUGAAAAUACUAAAAUGGCAUAACUCAAAAUAGGAUUGAAACAAAAUGUUCGAUCUUUGUAGUUUGGCAGUAAAAGGCACAAUAACAUAAUGAUUUUGUUAACAACAGUGUAAACCUCUCAUGAGGAAACUUCACAGCGAGACUUUUGAAAUAAUCCACACUAAAAUCAAAUCCACUAUUAUUCAAAUAGAAUUAUAGCCAAAUCAAGUAGUGAUGUUCAACAUUAUCACUUUUAUAAGUAUUCCAAACAAACUUGAUAUUACAACUAAUGCAGCUAUUCUAAAUAAUUUAGAUUCUGAGAAGGAACUGGACACGCCUUCUAAUUUGCUCUUCAAAUCCACUAAUCUCAAAUCACACAAAUGAUAGCAGAUGUAAUGAGUAUGAGCAUGGAUAUAUCAAUGAGAUUAAUGAAAAAGUUUUGCAGACUAAGCGCAGCAAUUAAAACAAUCAGGUUUUGACGCACAAAAACUCAGCGCAAUGAAAAAUGAUUUCGAUGCAUAUAUAUAGAGAGAGAAAACUCCCCCCACAAUUCAAAUCAGUUAGAAAAGAUAGAUUUUUCCAAAUCGUUUUUCAUAUCAGAUAUUAUUACCUUCCCUAAAUAGUCUCAAAGAUAUUUAGUGAAUCAAAUAAGAACGAAAACUAGCUAAUCUUUUCAGUUGACCAUGAUAUGCUUGAGAUGCAAUUUAACUUUUGUGAUUUGAGAUCAAAUUCACUGCAGUAAAACUGCAAGUCUCCCUGGACUUUGCUUCUCCUAGUUUGACCAGGAAACUCUUGUGAUUGAAAUUCCGCAGACUUCUUUUCUUCUUUUAGGUUGAAUAUGAGUGCCAUGUAGCCCUUGGAAGUUUUUUGACAUUAAGGAAGUUUCUAAAAACAUACAAAUCUUCUCCUAAUACCUUAUAAACACUUGCAACUAUAAAAGUUCAAGAUUUAUAGGAAUAGAGGCUGCUAACAAACCCACGCUCUCAUUGUCAUUGUUAGUAUGAGUCUCUAAGACGUGACCAAAAUCUUGGCACGAGAGAUUUGGUACAAUCUGUUGAGUACCAUAAACAAACCAUGGAUUAAAUAAGUUUUGGUUUUGUUUUGAACCAAAAUUAAGUUGAAUUUGUUAACAAAACCAAUCCAUGCUUGAUCACUAAUGGUUUGUGGCUUAAAUUAAUAAGACCAUCAAUUAUCUUUUUGGUAAGCCCAUAUAAUCAACAUGAUCUUAUUUGGUUAGGGUUUUGUUUAUGCGUUAUAAAUAUAUGUUUUAUGUCACAAAUUAAGGUGUGAGAGACAAAAGAGCCGCAACUUAGGGUUAUUGAGAAGUAUCCGCAAUUUAAGGUUUUAUAGAAGUUGUUAUUUUAUUUAGUGUUUUUCCUCUCUCAAUGUAUUUUGGGUGUGAUAAGGAUUUUGGCUUUGAGUGUUAAUAAAUACCUUGCAAUCUCCUUAUGAUAUUAAUGGAAUCUCCUCGUUAUCUCCGCUGUAGAUGUAGCCCCUUUGAUUUGGACAUACAAGUGAAUUUUGAAUUAAAAAUAAUAAUAUUUACUCCAUUGAGCCCUAUAGUUACCCUACUAAACCUAAACAAACACUUCCUUCUGCUUGCCAAAAAAAGAAAUGUCAAACCCUUCAGCAUAAUAAAAUGGAUUAUUUACAGAAUGUAAAGACAAAGAUACAUUUAUGAAAGAUUGAACAAGAUCCAGCUGGCUACUAGUUUGGCUGUCCCGGCCCUAACUGAACUGAAGCUGCAUGAUGUUGUAAAAGAUAGAAAUGUGAAAGCCUAGGUACCUAAUGGGUCUCCAAGCACAUGGCCUCUGAUACUCCAAAAACCAUGAAAUCUCAUUGAAAUGCUGAAAGCUCCAUAAUCAUGGAUCCUCUAAGAGUCCCAACAUUGAAAGCUUCACUUACUUCAAGUUAGUUAUAACUAGCUUGUGAGAGGAAGAGAAGUGCACACACAAUUCACAUGGCUAUAAUCACACACCAGCAUCACAUUUGGUGUGGCCAAACCUUUUGUUUGCUAAGGAUGUAUUGGAGUUAGAAUAUUCAAAAUACAAAUAGAUAAUAUUCAGCUUUUAGAUCCAAUACAUAUCAUGACUAAGAUGUGAUUUUUAAUAUUGUAAACCUCGGUUACUCUAGAGACAACAUUUUUAAAACUGGUCCUUAUGCAAGCAAGACGGCAUGGUUAACUAGCUUAAUAAGUUUGUUGCUCCCAUUAUUAGUGCUGUUAAUUAAUUGCUAGCUUGCUAAUUAUUGUGAACCAAACAUUUGUAUUAUUGACUCAUAAUUGCUAGCUCUUGAUGAUGGCAUGGUGUACUAAUGUACAAUUGUACGAACUUGCUAUUAUUUUCAAUGUGACAUUUCAGUUUGUGGUGUGUAUUUUUCAAUGUGACAGACGAUAUUUUUGGUUUUGAUGCUCGAUCACAUGGUUUACUUAUUUUCGCCAAGUGAGAGAAUGCAUUUCUUCUUUCAGUAGAGACACUAGAAUUUAUUCUUUAGACGUCAGGUGUUCAAGAUAGUAAGUAGUUCAAGAUAAGUAUAUAAUCUUCGAUCGAUUUGUCAAUCAAAGAAAGGUGACACCCAAUUCUAAGUUACUCAAAUAUCAAACUUAUUGACCCUCAUAAUUUACAAAAAAAUUUCCCUAAUCUAAACAUCGAGCAGGACUGCAGGAAUGCCAUUUAAAUUGUCACUAGUGCAUAAAACUAGUAGCAGCAGCAUGCUUUCAGUACGAUCCCUAAAAUUGAAUCAAACACAUACGAGGCAAUAACUGCAAUGCCCUUAUAUUUUCAUAUCAUUCCUUCAUGAACCAGAGGCAGUUUUAGUAUAUGGCUUUAUCACUUAUGACCCUACUUCGACACCUUAAUGAUUAUCAAAUUGGAUGAAACUUGACAUAAAUGAUCUAUAUAUUAUGUUCUAAAAACUAAACGGCGGAGAUGUGGAUACAUGACCGAAAAAUAAGCAAAAAAAUGACAUUCACACUUUAAUUUCAGAGCGAAGCUUUGCGCUGGAUAGGAAAUAUAUAUAUAUAUAUAUAUAUAUAUAUAUAUAUUUAUUGGGGAGCAUAUUUCUUUCUUAAUUGAUGCGAAAUUAAGCACCAUGCAUGGUAAUCAGAUGAAGAACAUGCAGUUAGCAAAAGGGUGAAAGAAUAUAGUAACUUAGAACUCGAGCAAUUUUAUUUAUCAUACACCAAUCUCUUUUGCGAACUUGUCACUACAUAAACCAAUAGCCCCCUUCUUCAUCUUCUUGUUUUUCUUUUUCCUUUUUUCCUAUCCAAGCAAAUAGUUUCAUAAGUGACACAUUACAUGGAGGGUGUGCUUGAUUGAGACGUAUAGAUAUACUCCCUCCUUAUACACACAAAGAAACAAAUCCUUAUUUCAACCAAAACUUAUUUAGACAAGGCAUCGAUAAGACUAAGCACAUGGAAAUUCCUCAUACAAUAAUUUGGUGGUAUGAACAACCUCCAUGUGAUGUUGAUACUUGACUCAGACUCCUAUAUUGCUCGAGGGAUGGAGAACAUUUACCUUCAUAUCUAUAUCGAUCGGAACUCGAUCAAAUAUAUAUACCAAGUGAUUAGUUUCUAUUGAGAAGUUCCUCUAUCAUCUGCAAUGCAAUCUUUUCCUCUUCGAGUAGUCUGUCAUACCCACUGUCUAAUAAUCCUUCCAUUUCCUGGCCAUCGGACACUUCAGGGGCGCUAGUACUAGUACUCUCCUCCUUCUCCCCUUUUAAACCUGCAGUCUUCUGUCCCAGCUCCACCAUCAUCAACCAAUUUGAAUCUGAACGUGGCCCGGCGCGUUUUUGCCAAACGCCGAUGUGGGAAUUCUCUGUGUCGAGCCUGAGGCAAGUGAGGGAAGGAGAGGGAGACUUGCAACACUUGCGAAGCUUGGCGCUGAGGAUCGCAGAAAGUGAAUUAGAAGUAGAGCUACUGGAGUUGCUGUUGUUGUUGAUAGCAGGAUCCUUAUUAGAAGCAGCAAUUUCACUGGUAGUGACUGGAAAGUUUGUUUUUGGCAUUUCGACCGCUCAUCAGAAUCGCAGCCUCGUCGUAGGCUCGUGCUGCCUCUUCUGCACUCUCAAAUGUCCCAAGCCACACCCUCCUUUUCCUGCAACACAAGAUAGUACGUUAUUAACAGUACGUAGAUAAGAAUCAUAAAUGACAUAUAGUUAAUCAGUACGUAACAUUAAGCUAGUCACUACAAAAAAUACCUUGUGCGACCAUGCUACUGUUCUACCAUAUAAUCAAUAACCAGAAGACUUAGACCAGCAGUCCUAUACAGAGAUUAAUUCUAACAAGUAGUCCUGAAACUAGAAUAAAUAGAAAAUGUGGAUAUAUAUAUAUAUAUAUAUAGUUUGUUGAGUUUAGUGUAUAUACGGCAUGGGAUUAAUGAAUGGUUAAGGAGGAGAAGAAGAACAGAUAGCUAAAGAGAGAAAGAGCUCGAGUUACAGUAAGGGAUGACGAAUCUCAGAAACCCAGGAGCCCCAGUGGCGUUGCCUGACACCUCUGAACUUCUUUGACUGUACCAUAGUUUGUCAGAAUGAACUGAGUGAGCUAGUAGUGAGGGAGGGAGUGAUGAGAGAAGUUUGUAAGUAGAGGAGUGUGCGUCAUAAAAUGUGGGAGUUGUGAGCUUCUAAUACAAAACCGAACCUAAGGAUGGGUCCUAGGACAGCUACAUGUACAUUUAUAAAACUCCCUUUUCUUUUCCUCGAUUUUUUUUCAUUGUGGCUUACAUUCAGAGAAAAUGUAGUUAAAUUUAAACAGUUUCAACGUUUCAACCCAUUCUCAAUAGUGAUAACAUUUUAACUUCUUUUUCUUUAAUGGAGUUUAGAAUUUUACUUUAGAAGCUCAUUGCCACACCCACAAACAAGAGAGCUUGACAAGUCGACGGUCCUUCCCAAUCCCCUUAAGGGCCUAUAUCGCGCAUCAUCCUGUUCAAGACAGGAGGUAAAAGAGAAGUGAAUAUGAGCAUUUCUAUUUUGCAAGCCGGAAAGAAGAUUCAAUGAGUUUUUUUUCUUCUCUUUUAAGCCGAAAGAACAUAAUAACGUUAAUUACAAUCAUGUAAGUAAUCAUUGAUCAACUUAAUCAAGCAGUUAAUUUGUCCGCAGUUACUAGCUAGGCUAAUCAAACUAUCAAGUUCAUACAAAAUGUACUUAGGUAAACUGUGAGAAACUCUAUUGCAUUCCUAGGAUUGAAACAAACUUUGUUGGUAAUUGUUGCGUGCAUGCAAUAUUGUCUUGAUGUCAUCUACUAAAGAUUCUUCUUCAACGUUCCCAAAAAGUUUCAUCGAUCAAGAAAAGAUUUUGCUUCUCAUGCCCACUUAUCUAAUAGUUUCUUCAAGUGCUCCCUACAUGUGUCAUCGAGCUCCUCUUCUUAUAUGACGCUCCGGCGCCGUUGCAUGCAUGAAAUCAGGGGAAUAUACCAUCAUUUAUCUGAUUGCAUGAACUUGUGAAUAUGAGAAACAAUGUCUCUCAGACUCUCACUGUAUGAAGAAAACUCUAGUAUCUUUUCAUUUUGCUUUAUGAUGAUAAAAAAUUUCAGAUUCAUCACAACUCCUUGUCGAACGUUUGAGCAUUAUAUUGUGUCCGGCCACAAUGCAUCAUCUUCAAUCUUGCUCCACAAGUAAAUAUUUGUAAUUAUUUGUACGUGAUACAUUAUUUGUACUUGACCGGAAAAAAAAAAAAAAAUUCAAGGCCGACAUUGGAGUUUAAUUUAAAUACACCUCGUGAGGGUAUUUAACACUCCAAGUACUACCCCAACCAAACGAGUUGUCACCGUCGACCCCGAUUUGGCUCCUUUCACUGGCCUUCUAUACCUUGCUUGCAUGCAUACCAAUAUCACACUAUAUAUCCUAGUGUGGCUGCUAGCUUACCUUUAUCAAUCUCUGCACUAAAUCGUAAGAAUCAAAUCUCAUCUACCAGGAUGAUACUGGUAUCAAUUCUAUAACAGAAAUAUGAAAUAUCACAUAGCUUUGCUUUUGGAAUGGACCCGUUUGGACAGCUUGAUUCUUACCAUGAAUGGCUAAGACAUUCAAUGUUGAUUUCUCAUCAGCUAAUUGAAAACUGGCAGAAAAACUAGGGUCGAACACUUGAACUCGAAUAUAAGUUGCAGCUUUAUUAGGUAUUUAGGUUCAGGUGCAGCAAACUAGUUUUUAUCAAACUGCAGUAAAUUAGUUCUUGUAUAUAUCUGUGAAAGAUGCUUCUUACUAUACACUAAAGGAGGCAUCAAUUAAAUGAGUUUAAUAUGCAGGCCUUCUCGGCUGCGGACGUCCGCACCGAAGGUUUUCGGUGCGGAUUUCCAUUUUUGCACCACUUUCCGAUCGAAUUUCCUCAAACUUCCUUCUAGACAUAUCUAGAUCAUUUUGUGUAAAUCAUCUCUGCAAAAUUUCAGCCAAUUUGGUGAUCGUUAAGGCGGUCAAACUUGCGUUUUUCUGUUAUAUACCUGAACCGAACAGAAUUCAGUCUGUCAGAUUUGUUUUUCAAUUUUGAGGGCUUUAACGAUUACCAAAUUGGCUGAAAUUUUGCAGAGAUGAUCUACACAAGAUGAUCUAGAUAUGUCUAGAAGGAAGUUUGAGGAAAUUCGAUCGGAAAGCGGUGCAAAAAUGAAAAUCCGCACCAAAACUUUAGUGCGGACGUCCGCACUUGAAAAAGGCUGGUUUAAUAUGAAGAAUUAAUUCAUUGCAUUUACAAAUUGACAACUCUACGUACACGUACUUGUGGGGGAAAAGGGAAGGCUAAGUUUUAGAUCUAUCUUUCGGGAGAUUUGUAAGUGGUAAAGAAAGCUAAAUUAUUUGUGUGUUUGGGUGCUUAUUGCUAGUGGCAUUGAAUGGAAAGGUAACAGAUUUGAUGGUUUCGUGGUGGUAUUGCAAUACGUAGGGAGAGCUGGGAUCCAGUAUGGCUAUUAGGAAAGUUAUAAUGCCAACUGAGGAUGAUUAAGUUUUUGGACCAUUGCAUAAUGCGAAUUGUUCACAGGGUUUUACAAUGGGUGAUUCAGAUUAUUAUUAUUAUUAUUAUUAUUAUUAUUAUUAUUAUUAUUAUUAUUAUUUUUUAUUUUUUUAUUUUUGAGGAGGGUGAUUCAGAUUAUUUGAUCUAAGAGAAUGAUGAAACCAUCUCUAAUUUAAGAAAAAUUCUAUAAUGUAUUAAUCCAUGUCAUGCAUCAACUUGGUCAUAAAGUUGUAAAAUUGGUCGUUAAAGUAAUAACACUAGUCCACAAAGUUGAAACUAAGUCCUUAAAGUUGUAAAAACUCAUAUUUACAACAUUAGUCCUCUAAGUGGUAAAAUGUGUCGUUAAAGUGGUAAUUAAGUCCUUAAAGUGAUAAAAGAAAAGUCGUUGCAACUUUGAUGACUUAAUUACCACUUUAAGGACACAUUUUACCACUUAAAGGAUUAAUGUUGUAAAUUUGAGUUUUUACAACUUUAAAAACUAAUAUUACUAUUUUGAUGACUUAUUUUACAAAUUUAGAAACAAGUUGAUGCAUGACAUGCAUCAACACACCAUAGCUUUACCCUUUAUUUAAUUGAUAUUUUCCCCAUAGACGAUCUCAUGAUCAAAGGAAAGAUAUCCAAAGAUUUGCAGGUUCGAAGUGCAUGUAUGGUGAUUGUAGUGCGGAAGUGUCAAACAAGUAUGAAAUACCAAAUAUGAGAAAAGAUGAAGUAAACAAAAAAUCUAUGGAGACCAAAUAUCUUUAGUUAAAACUCAGGUCGCAUAUGGAUAAGCAGUAGUGAGCCGCAAAGCGACUUUUUACAAAUGUAAUGAAAAUGCCCAAUUAGUUUUAUCUUACAAGUGAUUUCACAAAAGAUAUUUCAAUGCAAUUAAGAGUAACUUACCCAUGUAGUUAUAAGUGCAUCUGUGUGGGUGUUUAAGGGAUAAGCUACAUAGAAUGUGGGAAGAACACUAUCUUCGGACUUUAUAACCUAUCAAUCACAAGCACACGGUGUUAGGGGGAAGACCGAGAUGGCCGGCCAUCGACCCCUCGACACCUUAGUCAGAUACAUGAGAGUAGUGUUAAGGUAGGGGAUGAAGUGGAGAGUGGAGCCGUGGAGGUUUACCAAAAUGGAGAGUGAAGAUAUGUAUAACGGUUUUAAUGGUCAUUCAUUAGUGUAGAGAGUGUAGUGUCAUCAAAUGUAAUGGGCUUGGGCCUAAUUGAAGCCCAAAACCUCUUCUAGGCGGCCUGCCGGGUCCCCAUGCAAGGGAGAGGAUUGACCGGGUUCCGUUAAGCAAGGCGUCAUGUGCCGAUAUGGAUCGAACUGUCACUCUAGGAGAGACGGCGAUAGAUUAACCAAUAACUGUAUAAAGAGUAACUAAGAAAGCACAUAGACAACUUUGAGCCGUGGCGUGGUUGGUUAAGGUGGUUAACUAACAACUUUGACGUCAUGGGUUUAAAUCUCAUUGACAUAUGUAGGGUGUGUGAGUUAUUUAAUAAAAAGUUAAAAAAAAAAACUAAAGAAAGCACAUAGAGCAACUGAGGUAGAGAAAUCAUGGAAAGUAGUCAUAGAGAAUAACCAGAUAUUCGAACCAUAUAUUAAGAGUAUUUGUGGAUCGAUAAUAACCAUAAUAAGCAAGCAUAAAGAGUGACCUGAUCGAGAACAAUAUAAAGUAACCAUGAAGCAUCAGGUAUAGCCAAUAUGUGUUAGCUGACCAUAGGGCGUGACCGUGAGGCAUAACAUAAGGCGUGACCGUGGCACGUAAGGGUGAGAAGUAGGAGCAACCGGUGUGUAACCGUAAGAAGUAGUGAUAGGGAAGGAUGAUAGAGAUGACCAAGACCAUAGAGAAUCAUCAUAAAGAACAUCCAUCAAGAGACCACAUAGAGUAUCAUAAAGAGCAUCCAUAAAGAGAAACCAUAGAGAGACCACAAGGAGUUAUCAUAAAGAGCAUCCAUAGAGAGAAAUGAUGUAGAGUAAGUGAGUAACCAUAAAGAAGGGCCGUAGAGUGUAAUCAUAGAAGAUAACUGUGGCGGGUAGGAUGUAAAAGUCCCCCUAGUACCAGGAACAAUUGUCGUGGUUAGAGCGAGGGAGGAUAUGUUGUGCUAGUGUCGGGAUGAUUGUUGCAGACUAGGGUGACCCAUACAUAAUUAAAUUGGUGUUUGUUGGGGAGAGUUUUGCACUCUAUCGUGGAUGGUGUAUAAGUGUCAUACGUGUUUUAGGGAGUGACGAGACUCACCUCGAAGAGUGACGGUACUUGACUAGUACCUGGGAGUGACAAGACUCGCCUCGACAGGCCAAUAAAUACCGUGUAUCGAGGGGUCAAAAACUCGCCCCGAUUGGACUGAUAGAUGCCAUGUACCGAGGGGUUACGGGAUUCGCCUCCAUUAGGUUGACAGGCGUUGUGUAGGGGAGUGACAAGAUUGGGUUGAUAGAUGUCGUGUAUCGAAGGGUUACGAGAACUCGCCUCGGAUACACUGAUAUGUAUAGUGCCAGGGGGUUACGGGAACUCGUCCUGGUUGGUCUGAUAAGUGCCGUCUACUGGGGGUUACGAGAACUCGCCUCGGUUUGGUUGAUAGAUGUCGUGUACCGAAGGGUUACAAUAACUUGCCUUAGUUAGGCUGAUAUAUGUCAUGUACCGGAGAGUGACGGGACUCGCCUUGGUUAAGCUGAUAGGUGCCGUGUACCGGGGAGUAAUGAAACUCGUCACGGUUAGGUUGAUAUUGUGUCGUGUGUCAAGGGUUACAAGAACUCGCCUCGGUUGGGCUGAUAUGUGCCAUGUACCGGGGAGUACUGAAACUCAUCGCGGUUAGGCUAAUACGUGCCGUGUGCCCGGGUUAGGCAAAUGAGUCUAAGUCUCAGAGUCAUAGACAUAUUAAACCCUUGGCAAAUUAAUCAUGGAAACGUUGUUGCGACAUUGUUGCAGUUUCCGAUGACGGUGGUGUUGCUCGAGACGAUGUCGGCGGAGAAAAGGUGCACAUGGAUGGUGGUGGUCAGCCAAGUCUGUGUUUCCUUAAGGAUCUAGUGCUCACUGAUCGGAACUUGGAUUGCUCUACUAUGGCUUCAUUUUGCCAGUUCAAGGAGGAGGCGGACGUCUCAUGUGGCGGUGUCGGGUGUCCAAAUCAAAAUGGAGCGUUAUCAACUGUUUUGGGUUGUUCUUGGGCCCAUUUCACCCGUCACCAAGAGAAAAGAGUAAGUAGGUGAAGGUAGAGAAUGAUCGACUUGAAUUCACAAAUCCAGGACGGGUAGGACAAAACUACCCCUUUAAAGAAAACUUCUACCUUUGUCUAAGUUGAAUAAGCUAGGUCUCUGUUACUUUGAAGAUUCUUUAUAACGACUUGCUCGGCGUUUAGUAUCAAGCCUACUGGACGAGUUGCUUUUCAAAACUUAUAAUACAGUAGUCCUUCUUGUACUAUUCUUUCCAUGAGGCCGCGCCAUAUUUAUGAAAUAUAAAGUCGUUACGUACAAAAAAAAAAAAAUUACUCAUGGCCAUGUCAUGGCAUAGUGGCUUUUUUGGGCUUUACCGACUUAGUAAGCAUGAAUCGUUGGGCUGGGGGCUGCAGCAUUUUACAGGCCUAGCAAAAAAGCAGAAGAGAACAGACACCUGACUCUUAGACAAGAGAAGAAAGCCCAACGCUA
This 52271-nucleotide long non-coding RNA is filed under the name Fragaria vesca (wild strawberry). RNAcentral's name for it is "long non-coding RNA (FVES_LNC003034)". Lineage: Eukaryota; Viridiplantae; Streptophyta; Magnoliopsida; Rosales; Rosaceae. The record is from RNAcentral.